UGUCCCAUUUUGUUGUAGUGUAUGUAGACAAUUUGGUGAAUUAUACCACAUUUACAAAAUAAAGAAAUUUUUUAUUAUCAUACUCUUCCUCCAUCAGACUGGAAAGAUUUAAUUUUCUAUUAAAAGACAUUCUCAACUAAAGCCUUAAAUUCAAGAAAUUUGUCAAACACCUCUGCUUGAAUUUUAAUAAAUAUAUCCAUGAAUAGCGAGAAUAAUCAUCCACAAACAGAACAUAAUACUUGAAACCAAAAAUAGAACUAAUAAGUGCUUGCCAUACAUCAAAAUUAAUCAGUUGAAAAGAACUCAAAUUCAUUAAAGAAAAGUUUCACAUAUUUGCCAAUAUGACAUGUAUUGCAAUGAGAUAAAUUUAUUCCAAAUUCAAAGGGCACAUUAUUCUCUUUCAUAAAUUUAGACAAAAUCAAUUAACUCAAAUGGCCUAACCUCCUAUGCCAAAGAUCCUGCUGAGUGUCGAAGCAACCAAAACAGAUUUUGUCUUAUUCCCUAUGCUUUCAACUCUCGAAAAUAAAGAAUAAAAUAACGUUUCUGAACUACUGCAUCAUAAAAACUCCAUCCUGGUUUCCUUUGUCCCUCACAAAAAAACCUAGUUGAGUCAAAUUUGAAUAUUGAGUUAUUGUCACGACAAAACUAACGAACAGAAAAGCAAGUUGCAUUUUAUAUAAGGAAUAAUGAGAACAUUUUUUUAAAUCAAAAGAUUGAGUAGGAGUAUUCAAUUUUAUUUCACUAGUUUUUGCAAUAGAAAUUAGUUGUGACCAUUACUAGCAAAAAUUCUCUCUCUUCCACUAUAUGGCUUAGAAAUCAAAAGCAUAUCUGAAUCUGAUGUCAUAUGAUUAGAAGCACCGGUGUCAAGAUACCAGACCUCCUCAGGGGAUUCAUGAAGGUUCAUGUGUUAGAAAGCCCGAUGUUUUUCAUGCAUGCAGAUUUUAAAACAAGAAUACAGCAGAAUUAAUAUAGAUUAAAACUCUUUUAAUUAGAAAAGCAUGCAUAAGAUCUCAUCUUCAAAAAUACCUAACACGAUCUUCAUAUGAGAGAUGAGAUUUAGAUCUGAAAUUAUAAAAUGAAAGAGGAAGAUCUGAUCUUCACCUUGCGUAGGUAGAUAUUCACUGCGAUCCAAUGAUCCAUGGAUGUCUUCAAGGUUCCAUUGAAGCCGCACACGCGUCCGGCCUCUACAGGUAUCCACAUAAGACUGAUCUAAUCAGGAGAUCCCGAUCUCACCGGAAUGCUAGCUCCCUUGCAGAGAACGCUCCUUGAAUUGUCGAAUCUUUUUUUCUCUUUUUCUUCUCUUCUUAAUAGAACAAAAGAGAGACUAGAGGAGGAGGAAGAUACAAGAGAUCAAAUAUCUUUUCUUUUAUCCAACUCUUAGACAUCUGUGGAGAGAAAAGGAGGAAAGAGAGCCGUCCAACUCUUGAACCAAAAAGAGAGGGCGUCCAAUACCUUGGACGUGUGGAAUAGAGAGAGGGAGAGAGGUGAGGGGUCCAACAACCAAACCCCAUGCCCCUUUUCUUUCUUUCUUUUCAUGCACCAACAACAUCCUCACACCCACCCUUCUCUUGUUUUUCACACUCCACACGUUGAGAUGGGAUAAGGAGGUGCCCCUCUUAUCCCCUUUUUAAACCACAUCUCCUAGGGUUUGUGAGGAUAAGAGUCCAUGAAGAGGACUCUUCCUUUCUUUGGGCAUCACAUCUUAUGUGCACCUCAUCUUCAUGCAAAAAUGAAACCAACAUGAUUCCCUUUAGCGUGAAUCCUUCUCAUGGGGUGUGGUUCCAUUUCUGGUCCAAAUCAACAUUUGGUUAGAGUCCAAUGUGGUUGGGUUUCAUAAUAAGUCAAUGGACUUUUUGAGUCCAAACCAUUUUAGACUUGUGAAACCCAAUCUGACUCAAACUCGGAUCAAAUCCAAUCAAAUUAAAUCCCAAUUUAAUUUGACUAAGAUUCAACCCCAAUUAUUUGAUCAAAUCAAAUAAUCUAGCAACAAUUAUAAAUAAGUCCUUUAACUCACUAACUCUUAGCAAGUCCUCUCUUGUAAUUUUUACAAAUUAGUCCAAUCAUCAAUCAAAUUGAUAAUUGAAUCGUUAUGCAAUUCAAAAUUGCAAUUAAACUAUUCGAUCAGUCAGGACCUCUUAUAUGUGUGAUCCCAUAGGUUCUAUUCUGUCUGAUAGUGAGAAAUAUUGUAAUUUCUAUCAUGAAUAUCAUUGAAACUCCUUUCAAUGGAUUAGAACAAUUCCAACUUAUCAAUUGAAAAUAUUGACCAUCAAAAUAAUUCUCGUUGGUCUUAUAAUCCACCAGUGAUGUCUAGCAGUACAUCAUAGCAAUCCAGCAAAAUAGAAGGUAUUGAACCUCUAAGUGUAGUUACCGUGUGAUACAAUUCUACUAUCAUGAGUUCCGACAAGAUGAAAGUUAUNNNNNNNNNNNNNNNNNNNNGAAAAACUCAUCAAACCCCAUCAUCUGUCAUAUGUAAGAUUUAUUCGACUCAAGUUUAUACUGUAAAAUCUUCUGAAAUUUUUUUUCAUUAUUCACACUAUCAUGGCCAUAAUCUUUGGAACUCAGUCUCGUAAAUUACAUAAGACUACUCUUUAUCUAUUAAAAUCGAUAGAUUCCAUCUAGAUGCACAUCCUACUCCAACGAAUCUACUGCAAUCAAUCUGCACCGCAAAGAUCUGAAUGGUUAAAGAUCAAGUGUAUGUACAGUCAAACUACAGGAAUUUCAUUGUGAAUAGCUAAGGUACCAUAGGUCAAAAAAUCAGUCACACUAUUAUAGCAUCGAGAAAGUCACUGACAAGUGAGUAGAAUCUAAAUGACUUCUCGUGUUGAUCACGCUCGGUAUCUUUAUUCUCUAACAACCACUUGCACUCUCGCUCAGUGUCUCCACACUGUAUACUUGAGACUCGUCUAUCCGAAGAAAAUCGAUUCGUGCACUAAUCUUAUCAGUUCAAUCACCAUCCCCAUGAAGCAAUUUAAGAAUUAAUCACCAAUGACACAUGCCUCAAAUUCUCAAUUCUUGAGAAUAAAUGUCAUCAUUUUCUUAAUUCUCUGGAUGAUUUAUGGAUACAUACACUAUAUUUUCUUAAUUCUCUGGAUGAUUUAUGGAUACAUACACUACAUGAAUGGAAUUAAACUGUCCAAUCUUAUUAUUAAAUAAUAAAGUUAAGUAUCUUAAAAAGAAUAAAUGUGUCAGUCAGAUUGACUUCUAGGGCAUACAUCUAACAUCAUCACCACAAAAGUUUGUGAAAGAUUGUCAAAGAAAAAGACGUGAUUAAACCUCUAUCUGCACUGAAGAGCAAUAUGAUUGAAUUUGCCACAUACCUGGCACUGCACUCCAGUGUGUGGUAAUGAAGAGGAUGUCGGCUGAUGUGGUAGAGUCGACGGCUGGUUUUGCAUCUAUGGUUAUGAAAAAAACUUAGGAAAAAAUUGAGAUUAUAUGAAAACGGUUGUGAAGGAUAUGCUCUCGGAGAUCCUCGACCAUACGGCUAUCCACGACUUCCUCUCUGUCUGUGGUCUCCACGAGAUCUACCUCCACAACCUUCUUGAUUUCCUCGACCUCAAUUGGCAUAAAAGGCAUUGGCAUCCGGUGAUGAGUUUGCGGGAUGAUGACUUCUCCUUUGUACUUCGAUCUCCUGCAUAAGGUGAGGACGGAGUUGAUCGAAGGUGGGCUUAGUUCGGUGAGUGUUCAAUGCACUCACAAAUCCUCAAUAUUCUUCUGGAAGCCCUAAAAGAACAAUCAUCACAAGAUUAUGAUCUGACUCACCUUCUCCAAUUGCAUCGAGGGCAUCUUCGAUAGCCUUGACCUUCUAUAUAUACUCGAUCAUGCUCAUUGUUCCCUUCUUUAUGUUCUGAAGUUCCAACCUGAGAGAGAAUGCGGUGGAUGAAGUUUUAUCUAAGAAAUAUGCCUCAAUCACCGUCUAGACCUUGCACGCUGUCUUUGGUGAAGUAGAUAUCACCAUCUAUAAAAUGCUCUGAGACAAUGUCACGUUAAUCUAAGACAGUAUAGUUGUAUCUUCUUUCUUCCAAGUAGAGUAGGCUGGAUUGACCAAAACUUGUUACCGGUUCCCUCCAUUAUUUGAGAAGAAACGAUUUCCAUGCCAUUUACAUGUGAGAAGACUCCAAAACUUUCAAGCACGUUCAAAAAUACUUGUUUCCAAACAAGAUAGAUGGUGUUGGUGGGUUCAAUUGGGACCAAGAUUUUGAUGUUGACAUCAAGAAGUAGUGAAGAUACACUAGCUAUCAUAAGUUUGUUGUAAGAUGACAGAAUAAAAGUUGCAUCAAAAAAUUGAUGGUUGGUACUGUAGCAGGAUUUACUGUAACAAACUGGUACUACAACAGUACUAUUGCAACAGUACAGUAGUGGUACUGUAGCAUGCAGUAAAAAUGAGAAAAUAAUGUGAAAGAAAAGAGGUUUGAUGAUGGAUAUAUGGAUCCACAAGAGAUUGGGUAUGGGUACGUGAAAGAAAAGAGAAUGAAAAGAAAGAGACUAAUCAAUGACAGAGGAUCCACGAGAGAUGAUCACUUAUGGCAGUAGCUUACCCUAGGAUUAGAAUUUUGGUUCUGAUACCAUAAAAAAUAUGGGUAAAAGCAAUGCACCUCUCUCGAGAGUUAUAUUAAUAUUUAUAGAGAUGUAUACAAAUGACUUAGCAUAAAUGGACAUAUACAAAUAAGACAUAGAAGUGAAAAAUAAAAUAAGCCUACUAUGCUACUGCCAUAAAUACAAUAAUACUCUAACAGUGAUCUUCAUCUACAUAUGUUGAUCUUUAUAUAAAAUUGUUGAUAAUUAUAUAUUGUCAAAUUCAAAAGAAUAAAUCUACAGCUUAAGCUGUAUUGUAGUGUCUUGUUCACAAGGUGUCAGUCUAUUAUGGCCACAGGCUAUCAGCCCUAUUUCCGAAAAUAAUACUAAAUGCAGCACACCCCCAAGACUAUAGAAUAUCAGGUUUUUUUGCAUAUUAUUUUAAUCUUCGAAAAGAGACCAAGAUACUUUGGAUAUUCCAAAGACCAUGCUUGAAAAAGAAGUUGGGCAACUGUCUUUUUGAACAAAGUCAUGUACCAGAUACAAGUCCCCAUGGGAAAAUCACAAAAUCACUCGAGCUGCAUGCUUCUCUAGACCAAAGAUGUGGCAGCAUUGCAUCCUUUUCUGCUUUUUUCUUUUGGAUAAUAAGCCUUUAGGCUGGACGCCAGCCAGUGAAGCACAAAAAUUUAGCAUUGACUGAAGUCCUUGAACAGUGGGCUAAUUUGCCAGCAAAAGAUGCAGCAUGAAAGUCUUACUAUUCCCUGGAAAAAUUUUAGGGGUUCAUUGCAAACCAACCUUGCCUUCAGGAUCAACGAAUAAUGGCUUUUCUAGUUUAAUGAUCCUUUUUUCUCAGAGGUUUCUUUGCUUGGUUUUUGAAAUAAUCAAGGAUUAGCCACCUCAGAUUUCUUUUUCUUUUCUGUUCUUUCUUGUUAAGUUUAGGGAGAGAUGAGUCAUUUUGCUUCUUUUAUUUCAAUGCAUCAUAGGCCAUAAAUCAAGCAAUUGUUAAGAAUUAGCCUAAAGGCUUUGGUGGUUCUUAGUGAUCUCUCUUCAUUUCUUGUUAUUUUUCUCUUUAAUUUUUCAUUGUCUUUGCUCUAGCUGUUGUUGAUGGUGAUCUAGGGUAUUAUCAUGUGGGAGUACAGUUUGUCAUGUGGAGCUGGUGUCUUUACAAGGCUGAGUUAUUAAACUUCACCAAGCAUCCCCAUCUGAGUCUUCCCCUAUUGCUGAAUGACACUCAAAAAACUUUAUAGUGCUUUCUCCCAAAAACCAUCUUAAGAUGGUUGAAGUAAACAAGGUUAUUCUGGACAAGCCUGAAAUCUCUAUCAUUAUUUUCUAAGGAAUUUUGGCUCUCCAAUCCCCACCCUGCUUUUUCUAUUUUUAAGUGAAACUCAUGAAUAGAAUCUGAGCAAAUAAGAUGUCUAUCAUUUAUUUGCUAGGAAAUUUUCUCCUACACCCUUAUCCCCACCCUGCUUUUUCCAUUUUUACACAAAUUUUAUGAAAAGAAUCUGAACAAAUAUGAGAUCUCUAUCAUUUAUUUGCUAAGAAAUUUUCACCCACCACCCUGCUUUUUUCAAUGUUUAAGCGAAUUUAAUGAAGAGAAUCUGAAGAAGCAAGUGAUCUCUAUCAUUUCUUUGUUAGGAAAUUUUCUCCUAGACUUUCCCACCCCCCCCCCCGGCCCUUUUCUCAAAAAAAAAAAAAAGAAAGGAUGUUCUCAGUCUUCUCCCAUCAUUGUCGAGCCCCAAGUUCAUAUCAUUGUGGUGUACUGGAUAUCUGUCGCGCACUUGUGCCGUCCAUUUAGUUUCAAGUUCUUCGGCAUGUAUUUAGGUUUCCACCUACAUCCAGACUCCUUUCGAAUUCUUUUAUCUUGUAUUGGGUUAUUGAAGGUUUUCACAUACCCAUUUCCUAUUUCUUUCAAUCUUUUUUGCAAUUGAAAAACAUUUAGGAAGUGUUCGGUUGGGGGUUGGGGUCUGGAAUCGAAAUGGAAAUGAGUGACUCCCAUUCCAACCAUUUGAUUGGGAGGAGUCCCAUUCUGAUUCCAAAUCUGGGACGGAAUGGGAAUGGCCCAAUCUAUCUAAAACUCAAUUCCUACUCUCCCCCAAGGAUUCAAAUUUCUAAUUCCGAUUUCGAUCACAAACCAAAUGCUUUGGGAGAUUUGGCCAUUCCGAUUCCGAUUCUAAUUGUGAACCAAACAUCCCCUUAACGGAAUCAAAAAUUUGAAUCCUCAGAGGAGAGUAGGAAUUGAGUUUAGAUGGAUUGGCCAUUCCCAUUCCACUCCAGAAUUGAAAUCGGAAUGAGACUCCUCCCAACCAAAUAAUUGGAAUAGGAGUCCGUCAUUUUCAUUCCAAUUCCAUUCCAAUUCCAGACCCCAACUCCCCCCAACCAAACACCCCCUAAGGCUAUCCAACCCUAUAGAGAUCUUUUCUCUUUAUCAUGCUAAACUAAAGAGUUACAACAGUCCUACCAUAUUUAGCCUAUCAGAAUGUUGAUGCCUGUGCUGUUUGGGGUUCUUGAUCUUUUUGGAUUUGAACAGCCAUUGUUAGGUUUCUACUACUUAGGUAAGUUAAUGGAUCACUUAAGGAUCUUCAGCUUCAAUAUUCAGUAAGAUUUCUUGACCAAAACAGCACAUAUAUGUUAUUAAGUUGCCAUUUUUAUGGUGUUAUGGCCAUCUUAUUUAAUUGCUGGAAAAGAACUUUUCUAUUGCAAGAUGCAGGCAAUCAGCAGCACCCAAACAUAUUUAAUCCUAGUACCAUAAUAACAUCAUCUUAGAAUGCAAAUAAUUAUAUGAACUGAAAACAACAGAAAACAUAGAAACUUUCUUGACCUUUUAGAAAAAGCUGGAACAGAAUUCUGAAACAUCUAAAACAGUUGUGUUCCUCAGCUUGAAGUAAACAAUAGCACUCAAAAAGGUUCCAGGAGAAAGUGAUGGACAUUCAAGGAUCAUGCAGAUCAAGACAAUUGCCUGAAAUUAUUUUGGAACAGGCAAAAACAAAUAAAGGACUAGAAUUUGCAUGUCCAAGCAUAAUCUUAUUUUUUUCAUGAAGAGAAGCAGAAACUAGUGUGAUGUAUGUCUAGAGAUGUCAAUGGGGACGGAUACCCAAAUAUUUUACCCAUCUCCGAACCGAACAGAGCAGUUUUAACCGAAAUUAAAUGAGGAUGGUUUCAGCAGUAGUUUUAAAAAUAAAAAACCAUUUCAGUUUUAGUUUCGGUUUUGGUAAAUUCCCCAACCCGAACGUGAACCCGAAAUUGAACUCGACAUCAAACCCGAAACCAAAGAUACCCACUAUCUCUGAGUACCCUUUAUAUUUAGCAUAAAUCCUAGCCCCUAUCGCAUUAAAUCUGGACCAUCUAUAGACCAUAGAUGGGUCAAUGACAAAAUGGACAAACCCUAGAGGCUAGAGGGGUAGCUUUUUUUCCCUCCCUUCAGUUCUUCUAUGUGAUUAUUGUGUUUGUUGGACUUCUUUUGUUUGAUAUAGUUGGACUUGUUUUUAACUUGGAUUAUUGUGUUUGUUGGAUGGUUAUAUAAUCAUUAUAAAAUUAUUGAGAUUGUUGGAUGGUUGCAUUAUUAUUUUAGAAUUAUUGAGUUUGUUGGAUGGUUGUGUUAUUAUUUUUAGACAUAUUUAUUAGUUGAGUAGGUAUGAAUUAUAUGAAAUUACAGAUGAUAUCUUUAAUCUGGAUAUUUAUAUACAAAUUUUUGAAAUGAAUAAAAAAAUUAAAAUAUUUUCAGUUUUUGGAUUUCGAUUUGGUUUUAUGUUUAUUUUGGGGGUGGUUAUGGAUUUUGAUUUCAAAAACCAUUCAGUUUCAGUUUCCGUUUUGGGAAGCAAUGGGGAUUUCGGGUUCAGUUUCAGUCUUUUCAUUAACCACACCAAAUCCACCCUGAUGAAAUCCUUAUGCAUGUCACAUGUUAGUAUGCACAGAAUUCUAAAUGCAACUUGUUCUUCAACGACGGAAAGAUAUCGAUAGGAGGUAGCUAUAUGGAAGGUAAACAUACUGUGAUACAUUACCUAGUAUACGAAAAUUCUCCAUUAGCUCUGCAAAUAAAAGUACUAAAUACUAAAGCAGGUGUCCAUCUAUCAAAGAUUCUAGAACCGCAGAAAGGUAAAAGCAGAAAUCAUUUGUAAUCGAUGCAAAAGGAUAAAAGCAGGCAUGAAGAUUGAACAAGUAGAAUCACCUUCUGUUCGCGUACAAGUUUCAGAGAAUUACGCAAUAUUUCCUCCUUCACAACAACCUCAAGUAUGUCAUCGAUGGCACCUGGGUUUCUCCAAUGGCUAGGCAAUCACAAGGAAAAUUUAAAACAUCAACACUUCAUCUCAUCAUUUGAUGCUAGGAUCCAAUGUCUAACUGUAGUAGUAGUACUAAUGAAGCAAAAUGUGCCCUCAUAUACUAUUUAUUAUGUGGUUGACAGAUGCAUCUACUGAUAUUCAAUGACUCCCAUCUAAAUUACCUAUAUAUUCAUUGCCGACUUCUUUAAUUCUCAACACUGAUCAGAGCCAUUACUAGAGCCCUUAAUUUUUGUUGCACCAGAUUAAGACUGAGGAUACUUUAAUCUGGCAGACAUUUCCCAUGACCUAGUCCAUAGCUGGUUGAUAACAGCCCUACCUGUUGACAUGUUCAUCCAACUGUAACAGAACAGUACAACCUGAUAGAGGCCAACACAUACUUGUAACCUUGAGCCACUUGAGUUUUCUAAUCAAUUGAGUGUACCACCUGAAUUUCCUUUUUCUUUUUGAACAACAGAAAACACAUAUACAUUACCAUAACAAUUAUGAGGCCAGAGAAAUUACAUAACAAAUGAUGCUGAAUUUGAUAGCUACAGCAAAAUUAAUACCUAAAAUAUCUUGCAGACCUUUCUUUUAGACUCUCUAACUUUUUUAAUGGGAUAUUCAAAAAGUGAUCCAUGGAAUACUAAUCAGUAUACUGGCAAGCAGGUAGACUACCAUGUGCUGGCCAGAUCGAUUCAGUAGUCACUAAUUGUUAAAUUGUUUUCUCUUCACUAGUAAGAACCUAAACCUCGAGCUGGUGUUACCUUCAGUUUAUGUAAAAAACUCUUUUGGUUUCAUGAUGAUGAAAAGCGAAUUCCAUAAGUAUGCUUAUUUUCUUUUUUUUAAUCCAAAUAAUCAAAGUUCUUUUCAAAUACCAUAAUCUAAACUCUGCAUGCUUAGUUCAGGUUUGUUUGCAUGUCAAUUAAUUUAAUCUUUGCUUGUUUCUUAUUUUUCUUCAUAUUUGGUACAGAUACCUUGUGAAGCAUAUAAUAAAGCAGAGAAUGACAUGUCUUAUAGGCAUUAGUCAUUUAUUGAAAAUUCCAAAUACAAAUACAUAAGAAACCUAAUUCAAAAAUAUCUAUCUCACAUAACAAUGUCACUACAAGUUCCUAGACAGAGGGAAACACCACAUUAGAUUGCUACAGAUUUGGUAUUGUAUGUUCAUACAGAUGAAACAAAAAAUUUUCAUUAGAAGAUUCUAAAACUCUAACAGGAAUUGAUAUGAGCUGGUUAUCAAUGCAUGUGCCGCAACACCUCAACCAAAAAUUCUAAAUUAAGGACUUCAAGUUUUGUUCUGGAUGCAGUUUGAGGGUUUGGGGGGUGGGGAUGGUGGCAUGUAUAUUAAUUCAGUAUAGAAAUACAGAAGCACAUGCAAUGCACAUGAUGAAAAUAUGAAAAAGUGAACAAGUAAAUGUGUAAUGUUCUAAUAACCUUUUUUGUUGAGCUACCUAGGUCGCAGUGAUAGUCAGCUACUAGGGCUCAAGAUUCGAACCCAAGAAAUGAGUUAAAUAUCAUGUGCUGAUGGUACCAUGCCCAUGUCAUGUGUUGGUAAGGCAUUUGCCUAAUACAACUAGUCCUGAGCAAAUGUGAUCCACAUGAGAAGAAGAAGGAGAGAUAGUUACAAUCUCAAUCUGAUUGAAUAUCUUCUGUAAUCGAUGUUGGGUUGAAAAAUAUACUCCAGCAGCCCAGCUGGCUACCUCACCUUUCUUGCUCCUUGCUUUGAAAGUUGCAUAAAGACUGGUGCAUUCAGUAAAAGAAGUGCAUAUCUGCUAAAAUAACCUUGAGGCAUGGCAAUGGUCAAUAGGCCAAGUCCCCUGAUAAGUCUAUGUCUGACUCAUAAGAGACCAGACCAUACAAGCAAUGGAUAGAUGAAAGGUGGAAUUGGUCACAUUAGUAAUGGGUAGAUGAAAGUGGAGCUAUGCCACCACAUAGGGAGAUAAAAACAGAGUUAGACAUGAAGCAUUGAAGACUACGAUCUUUUACCAAAAACUAAUAACAGUAGUAUUGUGCCCACUGUUAAAAUUUGAUGAUCAAGAUAAAUAAAGGAUUAGUAAAUGAGCAUUUUGUCAUUCAAAUCAUUUGUUCGUUUAGAUGCUUAAAACAUUGCACAUUGUUUUAAAUUCAAUCAAAAGUAGUAUAGCCUAUAUCAAAAAUAUUUUUUUGACCGUAGCUUUAGCAAUGACAUUAACAGGUUCACUCACCUCUUCGCAUAAGAUGGAACCUACCAUGUUGAGAUGAGCACAACAUGCAAUAAUGCAAAUAUACUUCCUAUCAUAAACUUCAGUGGUUGAAUUUUGCAUUAAGCUUCUUCCAUUGAAAUUCUCUAAAAUCUGAAACCUACCGUUCGUUCAUAAGGUGGAACAUUCAUGGUGCUUUAAUUCUUAAGAUUAUAGUUUUACUUCAAUCAAGAGCAAAAUAUAAGAAGUAAUUAGCUAAUGAACCAAGAAAAUAACAAAUGUCUAUCAAACAAGGGCAUCCAUCCAUCAAUGGAAAAUCAUGACCUUAUGUAAUGCCUUGUUUCAUUAUUUGGUAAACCAUUACACCCAAGAUGUUAAAUUCCGUAGGAUGGGGCUAUCCCGAUUUUCUCAUGGAACGAGAUGCACCACCAUCCUACCCCGUCCCAACGCUUGGAACAAGAGAUAUCAAUGUCCCGAUCGAGAUGCUGAGAUGCUAGUGGGACGGCUCUAUCCCAACACAUGGGAUGGUACCCCAUCCCAAUAUCCCACGGGACAUCCCGUUAGGACUUGAAUCCUUGAUUACGCCAUGCUUACGCUCCCUUCCAUUGCCUAUCUUUGAUGUAUAUACUAAAAAGAGCAGCCUUCAACCUCAUAAGUGGAAUCAGUCCUUUUAUACAUAGUCAUAUUAUAUCAUAAUGCCAACUUUUUUCCAAUAAAUCCACUAAUCUAGCCAUGAUGUUGCUCCGUUGUUUUGCCCACUGAAAUUGAUGGAUCCAGAUACUUAAAACAGAAGACCUUGAUGUCAUAAACAAUGAAAAGCUAAUAAUAAAUUCUAGGUCUGCCCUCUUAAUCUUAGAUCCGCCCAGGGCCCACCCAGAAAAAAGACCUGACAUGGCCCAAAGCCCCAAAGUGAUGGGUUGAACAUGGGCUUAAUCUUAGACCGAAGCGAGCUUGGGUUGAAUUGCAGUGAACCUGGACUUGGAACCUACCUCACCACUUGCAGCCUAGUCCCCAAAGUCACUUGCGUGUCUAAAUUUGCAAGAGCUUUCCACACAACAGUCCUUUAUAAAUCAUAUUAAGUUGAAAGCUAGGCUUUUAUAUUCAAAAGCAUGUAGUGAAGGACUGCAAAAGAAAUUUUUAGAUGGAGAAAAGUUUGAUAAACGGUUAUGGUAACACCUCAAGUUCCUGUUUACUGCAUCAAUUUUCUCUUGCACUUGUCUUAUCCGAUUGCGACAUUCCUGCAUAAGAAUUUGGAACUGUCAAUCGAAGUACUGAAAGGCUGCAUUACCGAUUCGGAUUAAUGUCUGCAAAAGGAGCUUACAUCAGCCUCAUCAGAUCUGCAGGGACCAUAAACAAAGUAACUUAGGGAAGUAAAAAAUUUGAGUAAUGGGGCUUACUUAUGUAGUAAGAAAUGAUGUAAAUAGGAAUUCAUACCCAGACAUGUUAUGCUGAAGCAGACUGUCAGUAUUGAUUUCAUGACCUCUCUUUCUAUAGGCAUUUUUCAGUGACUGCCACCAAUACAAGGAAGGAUGUAAAAGUAUUACUAAAUACAAGAUCUGAGAUAAGAAAUUAUAUAUCAGAAUAUUAAAUGUAUUUAUAUUUCAAAUGGAAUAAGUUCAGAUCUCACAUCAAUAACCUGCUGCCUCCUGUAGCAAUCAGGGGGAAAAGAUCUUAAAUUAGAAUGUCAUCUAUUUCAUCAGAUAAGACGGUAGUUAUGUGCUCCUCAAGGGAAGUUAUAAGCAACAUACCUCCUCUCUCGCAUAACAGGAUCAAUACUUGCAAAUCUAUCUAGAAUUGACAGCAGGUCACUGCAAAAGAAUAACCGUCAAUUAUAACACAGGCAGCUAAUUUGAAUGAAUUGACAAUUUUGUAAGGAAAUAGAAUCAUACACUACAUGUCAAGCAUAUAAAACAACAAAUUCAUGCAUCUACGAAGUGUAUAGACAGGUGCAGACAGACAGACAGAUAUCUACAUACAUGCUCGUAAAUAUGGCNNNNNNNNNNNNNNNNNNNNNNNNNNNNNNNNNNNNNNNNNNNNNNNNNNNNNNNNNNNNNNNNNNNNNNNNNNNNNNNNNNNNNNNNNNNNNNNNNNNNNNNNNNNNNNNNNNNNNNNNNNNNNNNNNNNNNNNNNNNNNNNNNNNNNNNNNNNNNNNNNNNNNNNNNNNNNNNNNNNNNNNNNNNNNNNNNNNNNNNNNNNNNNNNNNNNNNNNNNNNNNNNNNNNNNNNNNNNNNNNNNNNNNNNNNNNNNNNNNNNNNNNNNNNNNNNNNNNNNNNNNNNNNNNNNNNNNNNNNNNNNNNNNNNNNNNNNNNNNNNNNNNNNNNNNNNNNNNNNNNNNNNNNNNNNNNNNNNNNNNNNNNNNNNNNNNNNNNNNNNNNNNNNNNNNNNNNNNNNNNNNNNNNNNNNNNNNNNNNNNNNNNNNNNNNNNNNNNNNNNNNNNNNNNNNNNNNNNNNNNNNNNNNNNNNNNNNNNNNNNNNNNNNNNNNNNNNNNNNNNNNNNNNNNNNNNNNNNNNNNNNNNNNNNNNNNNNNNNNNNNNNNNNNNNNNNNNNNNNNNNNNNNNNNNNNNNNNNNNNNNNNNNNNNNNNNNNNNNNNNNNNNNNNNNNNNNNNNNNNNNNNNNNNNNNNNNNNNNNNNNNNNNNNNNNNNNNNNNNNNNNNNNNNNNNNNNNNNNNNNNNNNNNNNNNNNNNNNNNNNNNNNNNNNNNNNNNNNNNNNNNNNNNNNNNNNNNNNNNNNNNNNNNNNNNNNNNNNNNNNNNNNNNNNNNNNNNNNNNNNNNNNNNNNNNNNNNNNNNNNNNNNNNNNNNNNNNNNNNNNNNNNNNNNNNNNNNNNNNNNNNNNNNNNNNNNNNNNNNNNNNNNNNNNNNNNNNNNNNNNNNNNNNNNNNNNNNNNNNNNNNNNNNNNNNNNNNNNNNNNNNNNNNNNNNNNNNNNNNNNNNNNNNNNNNNNNNNNNNNNNNNNNNNNNNNNNNNNNNNNNNNNNNNNNNNNNNNNNNNNNNNNNNNNNNNNNNNNNNNNNNNNNNNNNNNNNNNNNNNNNNNNNNNNNNNNNNNNNNNNNNNNNNNNNNNNNNNNNNNNNNNNNNNNNNNNNNNNNNNNNNNNNNNNNNNNNNNNNNNNNNNNNNNNNNNNNNNNNNNNNNNNNNNNNNNNNNNNNNNNNNNNNNNNNNNNNNNNNNNNNNNNNNNNNNNNNNNNNNNNNNNNNNNNNNNNNNNNNNNNNNNNNNNNNNNNNNNNNNNNNNNNNNNNNNNNNNNNNNNNNNNNNNNNNNNNNNNNNNNNNNNNNNNNNNNNNNNNNNNNNNNNNNNNNNNNNNNNNNNNNNNNNNNNNNNNNNNNNNNNNNNNNNNNNNNNNNNNNNNNNNNNNNNNNNNNNNNNNNNNNNNNNNNNNNNNNNNNNNNNNNNNNNNNNNNNNNNNNNNNNNNNNNNNNNNNNNNNNNNNNNNNNNNNNNNNNNNNNNNNNNNNNNNNNNNNNNNNNNNNNNNNNNNNNNNNNNNNNNNNNNNNNNNNNNNNNNNNNNNNNNNNNNNNNNNNNNNNNNNNNNNNNNNNNNNNNNNNNNNNNNNNNNNNNNNNNNNNNNNNNNNNNNNNNNNNNNNNNNNNNNNNNNNNNNNNNNNNNNNNNNNNNNNNNNNNNNNNNNNNNNNNNNNNNNNNNNNNNNNNNNNNNNNNNNNNNNNNNNNNNNNNNNNNNNNNNNNNNNNNNNNNNNNNNNNNNNNNNNNNNNNNNNNNNNNNNNNNNNNNNNNNNNNNNNNNNNNNNNNNNNNNNNNNNNNNNNNNNNNNNNNNNNNNNNNNNNNNNNNNNNNNNNNNNNNNNNNNNNNNNNNNNNNNNNNNNNNNNNNNNNNNNNNNNNNNNNNNNNNNNNNNNNNNNNNNNNNNNNNNNNNNNNNNNNNNNNNNNNNNNNNNNNNNNNNNNNNNNNNNNNNNNNNNNNNNNNNNNNNNNNNNNNNNNNNNNNNNNNNNNNNNNNNNNNNNNNNNNNNNNNNNNNNNNNNNNNNNNNNNNNNNNNNNNNNNNNNNNNNNNNNNNNNNNNUUCUUUCAUUUGAUGCGGACAUAUACUGGAGGAAGAUCUUAAGAUCGGGUAUCACACGAUUUACUACCAACUACAUAGCACUUGAUUGUCUUCUUAAAAAAAAAACAGCCUUACGUCAGAUGUUUGUUAGUACCGAAUGGCAGAAAAGCAGAUAUGCAAGGACCGACACUGAUGGAAGUCAUGUGGAGAACUUGAUGACCAGUCAAUCAUUCUGACAGCGGGCUAAGAAGGUAGUGAAGGCUAUUAAGCCAUUAUAUGAGGUGCUUCGCACCGUGGAUAGUGAAAGAUACCCCCAGAUGGACUUCUUAUAUUACAUGAUGGAGAGAGCAAAGAAACAGAUCAGUGAGAAUGAUCCGAAGCAUGCUCAAGAAUUCAUUAACAUCAUUGAGCACCGUUGGGACUAUCAGAUGGGUAAAGAUUUACAUCUAGCCGAUAAGCAUAAAUUCAAGAAUAUUUUAAAAUAUUUUUUCUUAUGCUUGUAAAAGUAUACUUAAUCAGUCAUGAAAUUUAUCUGCAGAUUAUUUUUUGAAUCCAAGAUUACAGUAUACCAUUCCCGGGAUAGAUAUGGGCAACGAGCUUCUUGCUGCUCUUCGUAAUAUAAUAAUAUAAGAUGGUGUCCGAUCUAGAAAUCGCGUCGUUGUGUCUGCAAGAGGUAUACUAGUUUCAAACAGAUGUAAUUAUUCAACUGAAUUCGAUCUGUACUCAACGAUAUAUUUAUAAAUUUAAUAAAAAAAAUUUUACAGAAAAAAUAGUUUAGAGAGAGAUCAAACAGCUUUGGAGUCCCAUCAGCUGUCGUAAGCAAAAAGUAGAUGAAUCCAGGUAAAUUACAUAUCAAUAAUGAGCAGCAUAGAUUCAUAUGUAAUUUUAUUUAAUAAUAUCAUAAAAUUUGAUAUGUAAUUUUAUUUUUACAGCUAAAUAAUGGAUUCAUUUUGGAAUGUCUGCAGAAUAUUUGAGAGGUGUGGCUGUCCGUAUUCUUUCUUAGACGAUCUUUGCUAGUGGCUAUGAGCGCAAUUGAUCGACUUUCGUCCUUAUCCGCAUCAAACAGAAAAACCGUCUGACACAAAAAUACCUCAAUGAUUAUGUAUAUAUUCACUACAAUCUGAGGUGGAGGCUAAAAUGCAUUCAGAAGAAAGUACAACUGAAGUACACUAAUCUGAUGCUAGAUGAUUAUGCUGACGAAGACGACGAUCUGAUCAUCAGAUGACUUGCAGGUCAGCAGCAGGAGCCAGAGCUUGAUGAACCGGGGUCCCCUCCACGACCAGCCAGUGUGGUAGCUAGGGAGAUCCGGAUGGAUCCAGGGCAAUGGACAGAAAGGAAUAUUCCACAUAAGGUUCCAGCUGAUCAGCCACAGCCUGAGGGGACACAGGAGACUCAUUCAUCACAUAACUCGAUGUCUGAUACAUCUUCGCAGAUGUUCGAACGAUAGAUGUAUAGACGAGGUCGGCAGUCAGCAAGAAGACAUCCAUCCUCUCACUCACAGAAAACUCAGUCACAAAGGGGCACAAGGAAAAAAAGAAAAGACAGUUGCACGUGCACCACUCUCGAGAGUACAUGAGCUAUCUGGCUCAGAUUCAGACACCAAGAAGAGUGAUGAUAAUACUACUAGUAGUAGCCAUGGAUCUAAUGAUCAGAGAGAAACUGGAGGACGGGAGACUACUGUUUAUGAGACAGCCACAGGAUGAUAUUCGAUUCAUCGGUGAGUCUCAGUUUACAUAUACCACACAAGAUAGGGAUCAUGAUGGACAAGUCGGUAGAGACCGUGGAGAGCCGAUUUCAUAUAGACGACGGGCUCCUAGAGAUCGUCCAGCACACGAUGCAGCUGCAGAUGAUCUUACACAUAGAGUAAAAUUCAUGGAUGUAUCUGAAUCAUCCUUGCAUUAUGGAUCCUAUUAUCCACAGCCACUUUAUGAUCCAUAUGGAUAUGGUGCAUCCGAGACAUCGUCUUCUAGUGGUUACUAUCCUAUGCAGUCUGGAGCAUCUUACGGAUCAGAUUUUACUACCGGCAUAUUCGGAUGGACUCCUCCACAGCCAUACCAUCAUCCCGAAGAUACUUCUCAGAGCCAGAGUUUGAAUGAGAGAUCUGAGAUAUCUUACAAUCCAGAAAGGAUGCCUUAUGGGAUGAAUAUUCAAGAGUACGGUGCAUCUUGAUUAGAGGGUUAGACUGAUGUUCCUCCAGAUUAUAUUAAUGAUCCAGAUAUCUACGAGCGUCACAGACACUCGAUGAAAAAUUAAAUGCAGAGUAGAGCUUAAGGUUAGUAUAUCAAUUAUUGUGCUUUGUACUUUAAAUGUUUAGAUAUAUUUUAAUGUAUAUUUUAUAUAUUUUCUCUUUAAUUUUAGGAUGAUAUAGUUAUAAUAUAAUGUAAAUAAAUAUAUAUUUGAAAUUUUGGAUCAAGAAUCCUUGUACCGCUACCUAACUCAAAAAUUGAACCCAAAUAUGUCAAUAAUAUGCAAUAUAAUGCAAUUUUGAAGUUUUAUUUAUGAAUUAAUAACUUGAAUNNNNNNNNNNNNNNNNNNNNACCCACAAAAAAAAAAUAAAUAUAUCGGUACCGAAUCGGUACGCCGAAGCAUACUGUGUCGAUACAGUACGGUACCAAUACCGUACAAUACGGAUCCACCACCGAUACGGUGUCCAGUAUCAAUACAGCGGUCCUUGAUCCACCCAUUUAUAAACGGGUUGAUUUCAAGUUGACCAUAAGGUUUUAAAUCCCACGAGAUGAACAUAUUCUGAUUUCUCCAUGGAAUAGGAUACCCCGCUAUCCCGUCCUGUCCCAUCUCAAUAGCAAUUCCGAUCAUGCAUCCCUAUGGAUAUCUUCCAUCUCUCUCCUCCUCUUCUUCUCUUUUUACUUGCUUUCCUUCUCUUUUUUUCUUUCUUUCCUUCUUUUCUUUCUUUUCUUUUACCUUCCUUUCUCUCCUCUUCUUUUUCUUUCUUUUUCUUUCCCUUUACUUUCUUUUUUUGAUUUUCUUGUUCUUUCCUUUCACUUUUUCCUUUUCUCUAUCUUUCCUUCCUUUCCUUCUUUCCCCUUUCUUCUUCUCUCCUGCAUGGACGGGUUUUAAAGUUCCAAACCCAUCCCGAUCCCAUUUUCUCACAAAAAUGGGAGGAGGCAGCAAGAUGCCCCCCCUAUCCUACCAGGACAUAAAAUCUUGGUUGACCAUUUCAGGCUCAAAUUUGAAAAUGGCCAAUCCAAAUUUAUUUUUGGUGGGUUCAUGGUGGCAGGUCCAGGUCAAGUUCUGCUACCUUAGGAAGAAAUGAAGGACUAAUAUACAAAUGAUAGCUUUGAGUUUGGGGCAUAUAUAAUUGUGUCAAGCUACUCUAGCUUUCAUCGACAUCCAUGAUCCAACCAAAGUUUGCUUUCUCAAUGCUAGUAGGGAAGAAUGGUAAACUUCAAGAUUUGAGGAUAUUUUACAGCAAAAUAUUCGAAUCUAGCCUAAACUUCAUCAAAGUCCAAAACUCAUUAAAACCUUCAAAGAGUUGCUCCUUGACUUCGUGGAAUUCAUAAAGUUGCCAAUAGCACCCUCCAAAUCUACUAGGCCCAUAAGAAUCUACUCGCACCCAAAAUUUAAGCUAGGUUGAUUCUGAUGCAUUGACCAAGACUUUUUUUGCAAAUAAGUUAUGCGCGCAUGACGAUGUGCAAGAAACAUAAUUGGCCACUUGUCACUCAUACAAGAGGACAUAUGUAGAUAGUUUAGCGAUAGAAUUAACUUCCCAAAGGAAGUUGUCAAGCCACAUAGAAAUAUACCACCCAAAAAUAGAAGUUAUUUAGGUAAUGGAACUACCGGUACCCACCACCUAAAGGACAUUAUUGCUUUGAAUUUGCAUGGUAAAAGGAGGAAGAAAGAUUCGUUGCUCUCUUCCUCAACAUAUUUGAACUACACCACAUCGACUAGGUGUCCAUCACCUUCUACCUUAAACUUCAAUCCUAUGAAGUGCUUGGUCCCCUCCCAGAAUUCUAGGAUCCAAAGCAUUUCUUUAGGGUGGAAUAUUUUCUAAUCAUCAAUGGAUGUGAUUCCAAGACUGCCUGAAAAGUGAAGAUCUAAUUUACUCUCACAUGGACGUCAACUAGUCCACAAAGCAAAGUUCAAUCUAUCUUUGCAUGGAUGUUGAGGAACCCAUAAAUUGGAGACUCAACUGGCCUGCACAUGGAGGUAGAGAUACCCAUAGAGUGUAGGGUCAACAUGCCUGACCCUGGAGUUUCAGUGAUUCGUCAAUUUGGCAAUGGACAUCUUUCUAUCAUCAAGGAAGUGGCCCAAGUCUCACCUACAAGCAAAGGAGUCGACUUACUGCUUCUACAUGGGGAUUAAGUAAUAAAUGGUCAUGAUUGGAGUGGUAAAGUCAAGUUAUUCCUCCCCCUCUUGUCAUGAUUAAUUCUUUAUAUAUAUAUACACGUUGUAUCACAAGCAUUAUUAUUUAAAUCCAUUUAUUCUUUUCUCAUAUCCUCUCUUUGUUUUAUUUUCCUUAUACCAACCACUUAGCAAAUAUUAAGUCUUCUUACUUGGGACAUGAAAAAGGAUUAAAAUAUCUCUAAUCAAUUUAAGCCAUAAUCGAUCAUGAAGUGCUCUUUUUAAAAUAUGCAGAUAAGGUCCCAAAAAAUGGGCACACGAUAACAUAAAUUUAAGGGUCGACAUGCACUGCAUGACAUAUCAGGACACAUUUUGCCAAUGAAUUAUUGGGAUACAAAAUUGGCAUGAAUCAGUUGCAUUCCCAUUUUUGACAUGUUUUUGCAUCAGUGCAUGCCAUAAAUGCGCAAGUAUUGGCAUGAAAUAGCACAACACAUGCUAUGCCAAUGCCAAGUUGGUAUGUCAUGCUUCAAUCCAUGCUCGAUAAUUAGCAGUGCUACCAGAUCAGGUUGGGUCUCCACUUCACUACUCUCGAACUAGUAACCCAAUUGCGGGUCUAAUUUUUUUACAAAACCUAUACAUUGAGGGAUUGGAUUGGGUCGAGGUUUGGGUAAUAAAAAUGCAUAGGUCUGAGUUGAAUGGAGGGUUUGAUUCGGGAACCCAUCUAGUAUCAAGCAUUAUUCAUUGAAGAGUUAAUCAAAUUAAACAAUCCAUGCUUUGAAAAUUUUGUCAAUGGAACAUGCAAUAACAAGUACUUGAUGAUUAACUAUAUAACAAUCAUUGAUUAAAAGCUGAGAAGAUGACUAGCCUGGGUGCACAACCUAUGCACAUAGGACUCUGAUUGUAGACAACCUAGAGGGGCACGCCACAUGCAAAGGUCUCACAUCUCAGGCAAAAAGGAUGCACAUCCCAUGUAGAUGAAUGAUGGUCUGAACUGUGCAUGAUCACCAUAGGGGACCAUCGACACACGAUUGAGCUAGGGGUGCAAGGCUAUGGUGGAGUACACCGAGCCAGCGAGCACCACAAGGCCUCCACAUGACCUACAAGCAAAGGAGUCGACUUACUCCUCCUACAUGGGGAUCGAGUAAUAGUUGGUCUUCUCCUAUCUUUUUAUUUUCUUUAUACCAAUUGCUCAACAAAUAUUAAGUCUUCUUACUUGAGACAUGAAAAGGGACCUAAAUACCUCCAAUCAAUCUAAGCCAUAAUCGAUCAUGAAUUGUGAUUUUUAAAAAUAUGCAAAUAGGGUUGCACAAAAUGGGCACUCGAUAACAUAAGUUUACGAGCUGACCUGCACAACAUAGCACAUCAUGACACAUUUUGCUAAUGAAUUAUUGGUAUGCAAAAUUGGCAUGAAUCGAUUGCAUUCCUAUUUUUGACAUGUGUUUGUAUCAAUGCAUGUCAUAUAUGCCCAAGUAUUGGCAUGAAACAACAAAACACAUGCCAUGUCAAUGCCAAGCUAGUACCUCAUGCUCCAAUCCAUGCUCAAUAAUUAGGGUGCUACCAAGUCAGGUUGGGUCUGCAUUUCACUACUCUCUAACCAGUACCCUCGUUCCGGGUCUCAAUUUUUCCCAAGACCUCUCCAUUGAGGGAUUGAAUUGGGGCCAGGUUCAGGUAAUAAAAGUAUGCAGGUCCAAGUCAAAUGGAGGUUCGGUCCUGGUAUCCAUCAAGUGUCAAACAUUAUUCCUUGAAGAGUUAAUCAAGUUAAACAAUCCAUGCUUUGAAUAAUUUGUCAAUGAAACAUGCAAUAACAAGUACUUGAUGAUUAACUAUAUAACAAUCAUGGACUAAAAGUUGAGAAGAUAUACUUAAGUCAAUUAUAAAUACCCAAACAUGUUCUAACACGUCAAGCAUUACUUUUACCCUUUUUUUUCUAUCCAUCUAAAUUAUGAAAGAAAAUUUAAUAUGCCAAGAGUUCAAAAAUUAACGGAUAUAUAAGUACAACUGUAAAACUAGCAUUAUAUAUGUGUAUAUUGGGUUUGCAGCUUUGAGUGGCAGCCUUGCCAAUAAUUGUUAUGUUGUUACCUAAUUUUUUAAGUGCAACGGGAAUACCUACUUCUACAGGGCCUCUCGACAAUUAAGGACCCUUGGAGACCUUAAACUAGGGCUGCAAAUAUGUUAUGACCCUGACCCGACUCAGUUUCAUGUUUGGUUCCUGAGUUUGAAUCCAAAACCGACAUGUUACCUAUUUGAGCUAUGUCAGAUCGGAUCCAUGGAAAAGAUUUUAGAUCUAGCAAGUUAUUUGGGUCAAGUCAAGAUCAAGCAUAAUCUGGAUGCAACUGAAGUGUCAGAUCUGUUAGGGUCAAGUAUGCUAUUGAGGUCAAGUAUUUAAUUAUUCUUUUAUAGAUAAAAACUAUUUGAUAAUUAAAUGUAUAAUAAAUAAAACUAAAAGGUAAGUUCAACAUGAAUUUUUAUUUAAAAAAUAUUUUAAUUUGAUCCAAGAAAAAUGAUGAUUUUUAAGAUACAAAUUACAUUUUUUAGAAUAUGAAUUGAUUAACUUGAAUACAUUAUAAAUUAAGAAUCCACUAAAACAUGCAAUGAAUGUCUAGAUAGAAUUACAUAAAAGUAGGUGCAAGGAGAUGGGAUUGUCAAGAUGAACCGAUAGCAAUUAGUUUAACUAGUGGUUUAUUCAAUGAAUAGGAAAAGAUAUUUGGUUGCAAGUCAGCCUAUCUUUGAUCCUGCAAGGAUUCCUUGAUUGUACCCAGCAAGCAUCCCAAAAGAUAGAGCAACGGAAAUGAAUGGAUUAGAAAUCCAAUAUAACUCCAUCCAAGGUAUUUAAAUCUCAAUAUAUCAGCAGUUGAAACUGAGAUGAACCAAGAUCUAACUAAUUGGUAGAGGGAAUUAAGAUUUUUUGAGACAUCGGCCGAAAUGGUAAAUCCAAUAUAUCAACCGUUAUCACUCGAUAUCAAUUUAUAUCAGCCAAUAUAACAUGGCCAAGAUUUUUAUAUGCAUCAUAUAACUGAAAUACCUAACAAGUGAAACUACAAUAACAAGUCAUCACCUAGCGCGCCCUUUUCCUAAAAUCAGUAUCUCUGCAAUUUUAUCUCUCUUAUUUUCCCUCUCCAUAUUUCUAUCUUCUUUUUUCGCCAUGCCACACAUGGGAUAGCAAGUCGCAUAAGCCCAUCUAAUCAUGGCUGUCAUGCCAAUCAUGGAUAGCUGUGGUUGGAGAGCCAGCCAUCCCCAGUUCACUCACGACAGGAGAAGCUUUGAACACCCUUUUUCAGCUAAACUCAUGUUUCCAUUUUCGAUCAUAUAAGUUAGAAUGACUCGCAUGUUCACACCAUGAAGCAUGGCACAAGUUACCAAUUGGAUCGGUGAAAAAGAAUCAUAUCCACGCUAUAAGUGACCUAAGCUAAUCAUUAUAUGAAGUCAUAGAAAAAAUCAUAUAUCAAAAUAUAAACAUUUGAUCUCCCAUCUCGUUUGUAAGACCCAAAAAUUAAAAAAUUAAAGAAAAAAAGGAGCAAUUUUUCACAAACGUUCUGUUUAUUCACCGAUUCGCAUGAGUGGAAAUUUUAACAAAGUUCACAUAUUCUUCCUACAUAUCCACUUCAAGAAAAGCAACAUCUAAUCCAUCAAAAAAAAAAUCAAGGAAAACUAAAAUUAACCAAAUCUAGCCUCUAAGUCAGAAAUGCAUGCAUCAUCAUCAUCAUAUGCAAAUUGAAAUGAAGAGAUUAAAAACAGGCACGAGAUCCUCACGUGUGGGCGCCGAGGAACAGCGAAGGCUCUCCUGCAGGAGGGAUGGAGAGGUGGGCAAUAUCGGCAUCGCAGAGGAUGGAGAGCUCCCUCACCUUCUUCUUAAUACCAUUCCUUCGAGUCAAGUAGCACUGCAUCCGAGCUUGCUCGGUGGGGUGGGGCUCUAACACGACCUUCCUCCGUGGCAUCUCUCCCUUUCUCUCUCUGUCUCUCUCCUCUCUUCUGCUAGCCUUUCGCCAUAAUUCCACCUGGUUCGGGACACCGAGGCAAGCGUUGUUGUCUCCCAUUUAUUGAUGGAGGCGGCCUCGGAGGCAUUAAAUAUACUCACCCGAGGGGGGCGGACAAGUGACGGCCAGGGUGGGUUUCGGACGAGGGGAUGGGAUGGCAGCCGGAGCCAUAAAUGAAUGCAGUGGCCUCAGAGCGGGGAGGUAGGGAGUGUGAAUUAAAGAAGCCGGCAUUUUCGCGGUCAUCAAACGCCGUGAGGUGGACCGCUUUUCAGAAACUGUGGGCGUGUGGAAUGCCACCGGCGGUAGGUUAUAAUAACCACAUCCGUAACAUUUACUCCCUUGAUUCACUAUCAUCUGAUACUCAAUCCCUGUUAAGUACUUCUCCCGUCCCAUAAUUUUCAGGUUAUUUAGUCCCUACCCUUGCACACGAUUGCAGAUAUCUGCUGGCACGUAGAUAUAUGUGCAAAGACGAUAAGAUUAUAUGUAGGGACAAUAAUGAUUAUGUACAACGGCUAGUAUAAGUGUACAAUAUAAAUGUGUGCCAGAGGCAAAAAUUAAAUGCUAAUGUCAAAAGAUCCAAUGUAAGAUGGGGACCCAUUUGAUUCACAAGAAGCAGGGGAUCUUUAUGUUUGAUUGAAAUUUAAAAAAAUAAAAAUAAAAAAAUUAAUUUUUUAUAAAUAAAUAUUAUUAAAAAUUAAUUAAUUUUUUCAUUAAUCAAUUUAUUUCUGUUCUCAUAUCUUCUAGGAUGGCUAAGUUACUUUUCUAUAUGCAGCAUUUACCAAUUAGGAUCCGUUCUUUUGCAAAUAAAAAAUUUAUCUGAGAAUUCAUAUUUUUCUGAAUAAAUAUUUUUUAGAUAAUAUUUAGAUAGAAAAAUAAUUUAUCUAUAUUCUUUUAUACAUAGGAAAGUGACUUCAAAAUUGACUAUCCAUGUUCUUUUACGUUACUACUUUUCUAGAUAAAUUAGUAAAAUUUAUCCAUAUUUCCCAUGAUAUCCCUUGUGCUUUUUAGAUUUGACUAAAUUAUUAAGCAUUGAAUGAUGGAGAUAUUGAAAAUGAGGAUGGUAUUUUAGGUACAGUAUUGAAUACCUACUUUACUGACUGAUAGAAAAAUAAUUUGCCGCUCCCUGUAUGGGUAAAUUUUUUUAUCAUUUUAUGGAUAAAUAUUGCUCAUGGUAAAGUAACUUACCCAUCUUGAAAAAUGUGAGAAUAUGGAUAAGUUGGUCAAUAGAAAAAUUGACCAACUUUCUCAUGAUAUUUACCCACAAAAGAACGUCCCCUUGCAGGUAAAAGAUUUGCCUGAGAAUCCAUACUUUUCUGGAUAAAUAUUUUUCAGAUAUUAUUUAGAUAGAAAAAUAAUUUACUUAUAUUCUUUUAUACAUAGAAAAGUGGCUUCAGAAUUUAUUAACCAUGUUCUUUUACAUUACUAAUUUGUUGGAUAAGUUGGUAAAAUUUAUCCAUAUUUUUCAUGAUAUCCCUUAUGCAUUUUAGAUUUGAUUAAGUUAUUAAGCAUUGAAUGAUGGAGACAUUGAAAAUGAGGAUGGAUAUUUUAGGUACAAUAUUAAAUGCCUACUUUACUGACCGAUGGAAAAAUGAUUUAGCCAUCUUCUGGAUGGAUAAAAUUUUUCUCUAUUUUAUAGAUAAAUAUUGUCUAUGGUAAAGUAACUUACCCAUCUUAAAAAGUAUAAGAAUAUGGAUAAAUUGGUCAAUAAAAAAAUUAACCAACUUUUUCAUGGUAUUUAGCCACAAAAGAACGAUCCAUUAAAUCAAGAAAAAUCUUAUCCAUAUAAGAGGUGGUUAAAUCAUUUUCCCAUCAAUCAGAAAAGUAAUCUUUUUAAUUCAUUAUUAAUAUACCCUUAAUCUAAUAAUAAUAUAUUAUAUUAUAUUAUAAAAUAUUAAUAUAUAAUAUAUAUAAUAUCCAUUAUAUAUUGAUAUUUUAUAAUAUAUUAUAAUUNNNNNNNNNNNNNNNNNNNNUAUAUAAUAUAUUAUAAUAAUAUAUAAUAUAAUAUAUUAAUAUUUAUAUUAUAAUAUUAUAAUAGAAUAAAAUAAUAUAAUAUAACAUAAUAGAUUAUUAUAUUUAAUAAUAUAUAAUAAUAUAAUGUAUUAUAACAUAUUAUAAUAAUAUAAUAUAUUCUAUAUUAAUAUUUUAUAAUAUAUUAUUAUAUAUAAUAAUGUUAUAAAAUAUAUAUUAGAUUAUAUUAAUAUAAGAUCUUAAUAUAAUAUAAUAUUAUGAUAUAUUAUAAUAAUAUAAUAAUAAAAUAAAAAAUAUAUUUAUAUUUUAUGUUAUAAUAUUAUAAUAUAACAAUAUAAUCUUAUAUGAUAAUAUAAUAUAAUAAUAUAAAAUAUUAUUAAAUAUAAUAAUACAUAAUAAUAUAUUAUAUUAUGCUAUAGUAUACUAUAAUAAUAUAAUAUAUUUUAUAUAUCAUAGUAUAUAUUAAUAUAUUGUAUUAUAUUAUACUAUAUUAACUAUACUAUAUUAUUGUAUAUAAUAAUAUUACAUAAUAUAUUAUAUUAUAUUAAUAUAAGAUAUUAAUAUAAUAUAGUAUAAUAUAUUAUAAUAUUAUAAUCUAUUAUAUUAUUUAUAUAAUAAAAGAUAUUAUGAAAAAUAUGGAUAGAUCAUAGCAACUUAUCCAGAAAAAUAGUAAUAUAAAAGAAUAUGGGUAACAGAUUUUCGAGCUAUUUUUCAAUGCACAAAAGAAUGAUGGAUAAAUUUAUUUACUAUCUAAAUAUUGACUAAAAAAUAUUUAUCCAAAAAAAUAUAGUUGUUGUGGUGUAGAAAAAAGAGCAUCAUUAGUCCUACAUUAGUUAGAGUCAAAAAAAACUUUGGCUUAUAUAGGAAGGGACUAUUUUUCCUAUAUGAGACGCCUUUUAAGAGGCAAAAUCAUGAGACUAAAACGGCCCAUACAGCCUUUGGGCUAUGGGUCGUAGGCCAAAGGAGACAAUACCUUGCGUAUCGAGCCAUAAACCUUUGACUGCAAUACUGAUGCUAGAAGAAGGGGCAUCACCCUCAAUGGACUGAGGGGCUCCUUUCGUCUAAACACUACUCUUUGAGAGUACACAAACAUGGUCUGUAGAGUAUACGGAUUUUUCUUUGAUUGGGAGGGCUAUACUGUAGUGCAGAAGAAAAGGCAUCAUUAAUCCUACAUUAGUUGGAGUCAAGAAAGAAUGUGGUGUAGAAGAAAGAGCAUCAUUAAUCCUACAUUGGUUGGAGUUAAGAAAGAAUCUAACUUAUAUAGGAAGAGACCAUCUUUCCCACGUGAGGUGUCUUUUAAGGGUCAAAAUCAUGAGGCCCAAAAAUGGCUCAUAUAGCCCUCGAGCUAUGGGCCGUAGACCAAAGUGGAUAAUACCUCACAUGCCAAGCCAUGAAUCCUUGAUUGCAACAUUGACGCUAGAAGGAGGAUAUCACCCUCAAUGGACUAUAGGGCUCCUUUCACCUAAACACUAUUUUAUGGGAGUAUACAAACACGGUCUGUGGAGUAUAUGAAUUUUCUCUUGACUGGAAAGGCCAUGUUAUAAUAUAGAAGAAGGGGCAUUAUUAAUCUUACAUUGGUUGGAGUCAAGGGAGGCGCUGGCUUAUAUAUCUACAACAAAGAAGAUUUUUACCGACAAUUAUUUUGACAUUUAGUGGUAAUUAUUAUCGCCACUAUGACUUUUACCAGCAAAUGCUUAUUUGCCGAUAUAACCAGGGUCGGAAAAGGUUAUACCAGCAAUUACAGAGAUUACCGAUAAAUGUAUAAGAAAUUGCCGCUGUAGAUUUGAGUUAUUACGGUAAUUAAUACCGACAAAUAUAAUUGCUAUGAUAUAGCAGCCUAUCUACGUCCAAUAUUAUGUCUUUCAUGGUAAUUAUAAUUGCCGCUAAAAAAUAAGUCUUUCGCAGCAAUUAUAAUUGCUAUAAUAUAGCAACAUAUCUAUGCCUGAGGAUAUAUCUUUCGUGACAAUUAUAAUUGCCGCUAAAAGGUUACAUCUUCUGUAGCAAUUACAAUUACCGCUAAAAGAUCAGAAGUAUGUCUUUCACAGUAAUUAUAAUUGCCAUUAAAAGGUAUGUGAAGUUAAACUUAACAAUUAUUAAUGACAAUUGAAAAUGCCACUAUAUCUCCUCUUCUAUUUUUUUAUCUGCAUUACAAUAUGAUAUAUUGAUAUAAGAAUGAAACCAGUUCAAAUAUCAAUAUUCAUCAUAAUAAUAUCAAAAUAAAUUUUAUAAUUAAUUUUCUAGUGCAACUCAUCCAACCAAUAAAAUCCAACAACAAAGUAUUAUAUAUUAUAAUAACCAAAAAAGAGUUUACAUUGCAUAUUUGUCAAAUACAUGUAACUCUCAAAUACAAACAUAGCAAAAUAUAUAUCCAUCACAAUCAUCAAUGAACUCUUAACAAUCUUGUCUGAGCCCCAAUAAACUCCUUGAGUAUCAACUGAGCUCUUGAUCCAAAGCAGUCCAUCAACUCACAACGUGCGUCCUAAAAAAAAAGACAAAAAGCACACAAAUUAGUUAAUAAAUAACCAAUAAUAAUUUUAGUUGCAUAAUAGCAACAUAAUCAAUAAACAACAAUCAUCUUCUUGAGGAUAUGUGAUGAUGUCAUUAAUGUUGAUCUUUGAGAGGUUUUUUAUGUGUGAUUUAUUUGGUUAUCAUGUUAUUUUUGGGGUUCGGAUUGCAUUUUUCAUGUGAAAGGAUAAUUAACCUUCUUCAGUGAUAUCAAUUAUUGAAUUUAUUUUGCACAGCUUUUGAAAUAUUUAUUUUAUGAUCUAUGUUGCAGAUUCUAGAAAAAUAUCGAAAUACCGCAGUCCAUAUAAAAUAUGAUUAAAUGGUUGAUAUCAUAAAAAAAAUGAAUCAUACGGAAGAUACAAUCAGAACCUGUUAUCCAAUGGUUAUCAGCACAUAAAAUAUUCACAAUGAUAAUUAUAAAUACUGCACUUAACCAUAAGAUAAUUAAGAUGAAUAAUUUUUUCAAAAAAUAGUUUCUGAACUUUUUUAUUAAGUCAAACUUAUAUUGAUACAAGAUUGUAAACUAAGGCUCAUAAUGGUUUGAGUAUGUACAGAUUCCACAACCACAACACCAUCGUUUUUCUAGCUUUACUCUCAGAUCAACACUCUUAUAAUAACUGAGAAAUUGAUAAAAGUAUCCAUUCUCUUUCUUUCAAGACAAUGAUGUUUGUUUCCUCUAUCUUUAACAUUAAAUUACCGGUCAUUAGCACAAAAGAGAGCACAUCUGAUCUAGUGUCAAAAAGGGUUAACCUUGUGAGCCUAUAUCAAGGGCCAGAAACUUGCACGCAUCCACGAGAAUAGCAAUUUCUUCUGAUCAGAACUUCAGAAAGUGGGUUUCGAGGUUUUUGAAGACAGUGACUCACCAGUUAUGCCUAUAAUGCUUUACAACACAGCAAAAAUUCCAGCCUUAUCCAGGGAGUGUCUCAGAUAGAAUGUAAGUAUGACAUCUUAUUUAACUUUGAAUGUCAGACUGCAUGUUGGUAGUGUUAAGAUUUGAUAUUUCGAAAUUCGAUCCAUACUGAGCUUACAGUGAAAUCCGCGAUGACGAACGAAAAGAGUCCAACGAAUUCAAGAUAGUUCAAAUGGAGAUCGGACGAAAGAGAUACACUCGAUAGAAGAUGGCACAACUUACGAAGCGAUAGAGGCCGGUGGAGCAAGUGCGUAUGGGACUGCUGCGAGCGCGUAGCCCAGCACGCAGAUGCACAGGCACAUGCGGGCGCAGCCCAGGCAGGCAGGUACAGGUGCGGCCCGCACAAUUUUUCUAUGCCACAUGCAGUGCGUGGAUCGACGGUCCAUAGGGAUCCACAUGGAUCGGAUGGAGACUUUCCUUUGGUUCGCGCGGUCCACCGUGGAUCGAAAAACGUUUCAGACUAGUUUCUCACGGUCUAAAGGGCUUGUCAUGGACCAAAUGUGCGAUCGGAUGGCCUAGUGAGCUUGCGGUCAAGAUUCAUUGUUUCAGAGGCAUGUUUGGGUGAUCUGAGGAGUUCUAAUUUGCAUUGAAGUCGGGAUUGGAUCGAUCUGAGAUCUUUAAAAAACUCUGUUGAUAGAACAGAGAUGGUGUCGCUUUUGGUUGUUCGACAGAGGAUCCAGGCAGCAGCAGAUCAAGAGGCGCCGAUAGAGAGCAGAAGUAAGGUGCUUCAAACAGACUGUUAGGCAGCGGAAGUUGUCGCUUCAAGGGUUUAGAGGAGGUUUCCUAAAAAAAGAAGUUUUGUGAGAAAGAGCUUCUUGUGAGGGAGAGAUUGGGUGUACGAGAGUUAAGGGUGUGAUCUCCUCUUAUAAUUUUUUCUUUUUCUCAUAAUGAAGCUUUCAUGCCCUAUGGAGGCAAGCAUUUUUUUUACUGAUCCACGUAUUUGACUAUUCUAUUUUUUUUUCUUUCUGCUGCGACACAUGGUAUCGAAAAGGUCUUGUGAAGGUGGUGUCCUGAUCAGACAUUUCCAACAAGUGGUAUCAGAGCGAGAUGGUAUCAGAAUACAGAUUACGACAGUGGUGAGCAAGAUUGAAGAUGGAGAAGACAUGAUCAAUCAAGAUGGAGAUCAACAGAUUUGAUGAAAAGAAUAAUUUCUUCUCGUGGCAGGCAAGGAUAAAGGACAUGCUCAUCCAGCAAGGGUUGAUCGGUGCUCUCUUGUGCGAAAAGAAAGCGACUACCAUGAAGAUACAAGAUUGGAGGUGGCUCUAGAUGCACGUGGUGAAUGCAAUCUGCUUGUCCCUAGCGGAUGAAAUGGUGAUCUAUGUGCUUUGCAAGACUUUUCCAACGAUGCUGUGGUCGAAACUCGAGGAGUUGUAUAUGGUGAAAUCUUUCACCAACACCCUCUUUCUUUGGAGACAGUUCUAUCAACUGCAGAUGACUGAGAGACAGAGUAUGCAAGACUAUCUCAGUCACUUUCAGAAGAUCCUCAUCGACCUCCUCAGUAUUGACGAGAAAGUUGAGGAGAAGAUCAGAGUACUGGUCUUGCUAGUAUCGCUUCUCCCUUCGUAUGAGUCCUUAGUGACUACUCUUCUAGUGGAAAAGAACACCAUCAAGAUGGCAAGAUCACUACGGCGAUUCUUCAGAACGAGAUUCUCAGGAGAGAGAAUCUAGCUUCGAGCUCCGAUGGCAACUCAGCUUUGAUGAUUUUUAGAGGAGUAGGAGGUGGUAGACGGAGCGACAGAAAAUCACGACGAGGAUGGUCCAAAUUCAGGAUGAGGAACUUAAGCAAGAUCAGAUGCAGUACGACGAGUUGGAGCAUCUAGCCAGAAAUUACUCUCAACUUAAGGAUCAAACGAGGGCUACUGCAGUGAUGGCCGAUAGCGAGUCAAAGGGUGAUGCCCUUAGGGAUGGCAAUCGGAUCGGGUCGGAUCAGAUACGGAUCGGAUCAGAAAAUAUCAAAUCUGAAUCCGAUCUAUUUAUUAAAUAGGUCAGAUUUUCAAACCUGAAUCUGACACAUUUAAUAAACAGGUCAUUCGAUCCGACCCAUUUAACCUGUUUAUCCGAUCCGACCCGAUCCGUUUAACCCGUUUAUCAUUUAACUUGUUUAAUAAAUAGCUAACCUGUUUAUCUGACCUGACUCAACCCGUUUAAUCUGUUUAGAUACAGAAAUAAUCAAAAUUAACAUAAAUACAGAGUGAGACAGAAAAUUAUAUGCGCACGUAGACAGACGAAGACCACAAAAUCCAAAUAAUUAACAGAAAUAGGGAAGCUAAUUAAUCUUCCAUACUUGGACCAUUACAUACAUCAGUUAACUGGUAUUUACAAACAUUAAAUGAACAAAAAUUUGGGCAAAUUGAUUUCUGCAAAACUAUUUGUCCUGAGACUUACAUCAAUAAGAAUGAGAAUAAUUACAAUAAGAAUAAUAUCUUAAUCAAAGAAUGCCUAUAUCUAUCGUCCAUUUUUGAGAGGGGAAAAUUGAUAACAAUGAGCAAUCAACUUACUGCCAAUGAAAAUUAAUUUACCAAUGUCAAGCAAGAUACUAUUCAUUAAAUAAAUCAAUAGGUAAAUGAGAUAAUACAUAAAUGGCACAUGCAAGAUACUAUUCAUUAAAUAAAUCGUAGGUAAAUAAUGAUCAUCAAAGAGCCAAAAACUCAUAAAUCAGAGCAAAAACAGUUAGACAAAAAUUUCUGAUUUAAAUCAAUGGAGCAAAGACCAGAUCAUACAAACCUCCCAGGAAUCCUAACGUAAAUCCAAGAAAAAAAUCUAAUCAGGUAAACAAUGAUCAUCAGAGAGCCAAAAAUUUAUAAAUUAGAGCAAAAACAGUUAGACAAAAAUCCCUGAUUUAAACCAGCCGAGCAAAGACCAGAUCACACAAACCUCCCAGGAACCCUAACAUAAAUCCAAGAAAAAAAAUAAUAAAUCGAUUGCAUAAAUGAGACAAUACAUAAAUGACUAUGAAAUUCCAGAAUAAUAGAUCAGAUCACUAUGAAAUCUCAGAAAUCCUAAUGUAAAUUCAAUAAAAAAAUCUUCGGAUCUGGAUCGAACACCAAUUACAGAGAUCGGAGGGGAAGACCAACCCCAGAGAUCAGAGCAAAAAUCCUCAUGAUUCCUUCAAGUUUGCCGUCAUCGUGAUGUCGGGUGUCACGAUGGCUAAAGAGUAAAGAUGGAGGCCAGGUCCCGGCUGGCACUCCCAUGAUGAGGGGAGAUCGAGGAGGAGCACCAUCUAAGAGAGGAGGUUGAGGAAGAGGAAGGGAAUACCUGAACUUUCUCUGAGUUCCCUUCAGCACGAUCGCAAACGGAGAGGAGCCGAUAGUAGACGGCCACCUAUUACCGACGGUGGGGAAGACGGUGGGGGAUCAUCGAUCGAGAGGAGGGAUGGAAUGGAAACCCUAGAGGGGAUGGAAUGGAAACCCUAGAGGGAAGGGGAAUAGAUGUGAGCGGCAGGCCUGGGAUUGGAAGCGACGUUUCGUUCGAUCAAAUGAAAGAAUAUAACCUGAUAACACUUAAGAGUUAAGCCGGUUAAGGAGUCAAGACCUUAAGGUUAUAAAUAAUGAGUUAUAACCCGACCCGACUCGAUCUGAUUCAACCCAUUUAUUAAAUGGGUUAAACGGAUCAGUAACCUAAAAUCUGAACCCGAUCCGAUUAUUAAAUGAGUUAAACAGGUCGAUCCAUUUACGAUCCAAACCCGUUUAAUCCAAAUCCAAACCUGUUUAACAUGGGUCGAAUGCGGGUCGAGUUGGUGGGUCAGAUCGAUUUUUGCCACCCCUAGAUGCCCUGAAGAUAUCUGACGAGAUAUCUAUUUUUUUCAAUAAUGAAUUUUAAAUUUUACAUGCAUCUAUCAUGUAUGUUGUAGAGAGGAACAGUUUGACUCUUUGAAGAGCAAUGAGAGUACUAUUUAUCUGUCGGAUGAAUCGAGCUAUGCGAUCAGAGAUAUCGAAAUAGUCAGCUGGAGGACACAUGAUGAUGCAGUGAGGAGAUUGAGAGAGGUUCGAUACAUAUCCAAUUUCAGAUAGAAUCUUAUCUCAUUGAGCAAGUUGGAUGCUAGAGGCUACAGGAUGGUAGCUGAUGGAGGAAUCCUGAAGGUGUUGUACGGCAAUAGGAUUAUUCUGAAGAAAAAAAAGAAGACGAGAAGAUAUUAUUACCUGAUGGAGAGCUCAGUGUAAGGUAGAGCUUCAAGAGUCAGGAGGAGUUUGGAGAAAGAUGGAGCUCCAAAUGGAGGUGGAUCAGGGAUGAGAAAAGCAAGACUCGAGAAGAUGAGAGGCGAUAUCAUAAGGUGAGAUUUCUAUUACCACAAGAUAUCCCGAGCAGAUCUCAGAUCAGGAGGAUGACAACAUAUGAUAGAGAUAAAAUCGAGUGGCCUAACUCGACUCCCAUGUCUGUCCAUCCAUGAUCAGUAGACGAUUGUCCCAGGAUAUGGAGGCUAGGAGAUCCAGAAGCUCUCAAAAUUAGGAAAAGACAGAAUAUCGAGUGAGGUAAAGAUUGUUAGAAUUUGAUGUCUCAAGAUUCGAUCCACACUGAGCUCAUAACGAAAUCUACAAUGACGAACGGAGUCCAACGAGUCCAAGAUCAGUCCAAACGAAGAUCGGAUGAAGGAGAUACGCUCGAUAGAAGAUGGCAUGGCUUAUGGAGCGACGGAGGCCAACGGUGGUCGGUGGCAAGUUGGCAGAGCAGGCGUGUGCGGUGGCACGCAGGACGGCCAUGAGCGUGCAGCCCAAUCGCGGACGAGCAGGUGCACGCGGUGCGUGGCCCAAGCCCGAGCGGGCAUGCAUGGGGGCGCAGCCAGGGCGGGCAUGCGCGCAGGUGCGGCUCGUGUGAUUUCCCAUGCGGUCCAUGUGCGAUGCAUGGACCGACAAUCCAUGGGGACCCACGUGGACUGGACAGGCAUUUUCCUUUGGUUUCGCACGGUCCAUCAUGGAUCGAAGAGCGUUUCAAGCUGAUUUCUCGCAGUCUAGAGGGGUUUUCAUGGAUCAGAUGCACGAUCGAAUGGCUCAGUGAGCUUGCAGUCAAGAUCCAAUGCUUCAGAGGCAUAUUUGGGUGAUCUUAGGAGUCCUAAUUUGCAUUAGAGUCAGGAUUGGACCGAUCUGAGGUCUUUAAAAGAUCCUAGUGAUAGAACAGAGAUGGUGUGGCUUUUGGUUGUUCGAUAGAGGACUCAGAGCAACAGCAGAUCGAGAGGCGUCGACAGAGAGCAGAAGCAGAAUGCAUCAGGCAGAUUAUUAGGCAGCGGACAGCGGUCGCUUCAGGAGUUAAAGAGGGUCUUCUUAAAGAGAGAGCUUUUGUGAGAAAGGGCUUCUUAUAAGGAAGAGAUUGGGUGUACGAGGGUUGAGGGUAUGAUCUCUUUUUAUAUUUUUUUUUCUUAUAAUGAAGCUUCCAUGCCCCGAGGAGGCGGACUUUUUUUUGGCUGAUACACAUAUUUGAUUGUUUCUAUUUUAUUUCUUCUUUCUUCAUACUACAAUGCGUGAUAUCAAAAAGGAUGUGUGGAGGUGGUAUCCUGACCAGACAUCUCCAAUAAGUAGACAAAUGUAUCCUUAUGAAGAUAACUCCAUAUUUAAAUUUUUUUUAUGUAACUCAUUUAAAAUCUGACAUCUUGAAUCAUUAAACAAGACAAAAUUAUUGAUUGGACAGAACUUGAUGAAAUGGCUAUGGAUACUUGGGUUAUGCACUUUUCCUCAAUUUCAUGCUCGACGAGAAGAUGAACAUAUAUAGAAGGAAAAAGGGAGAAAAAAUAAAUGAGACAUGAUGGGUACCAUCUUUUGAGUGCAAAAAAGUCCACAUGAAAAAAGAAGAUAAAUAAUCAUGGAUUUUCAGAAUGGAUUGCAAGCAGUUAUAUGCUAAUCGCAUUAGAGUUUAAUAAAAUGUACUAAGAGCAUUAAAUACUUUUCAUUAUUGAUCCCCUAAUAGAAGAAAAGAAAUUGAGCUAUUGAAGAGAAAAAGCUACAUGCCACUUGAGACCUUGCUGUAUAACACUCAUUAAAUUAAGUCAAACAGAGAGCCAAGCUUACUAUAACCAUUUUGUCCACAUGGAACAGGGACCUUUUACAAUUUAUCGCCUAGCCAAGCAUGGUGAAAUUUUAAUAUGUUAGAGUAGAUAGAGAAUAAUUCCAACAUCACAUGACCCACUAAUUUUGUAAAUAAGAAAAGUAUAAAUUCAUAAAACAAAUUAUCUGAACUAGAUAUGAUCUUCAAUUUACUACCAUUAGCAAAAAAAUAUGAUGAAAAUAAUAAGAUCAUAUGAUCGAGAAUCAUUUUUAUCGCAAGUUAACAUAAUAUUAUUAUCUUGACGAAUAAAAAAAGGCAUGUGAAACAUUGGAGGGUUUUGGAAAUAUUGUGCAUUCACUACUUCAUGAGUACUACAGGCAUCAGGAACCUAUUUAAAAAUAAUAUAAGAACAAUAUUAUUACCUACAAGUGCUUUGCCUAGUUGAAGAAGAAUAAAUUCAGAUUCUUUAAGAAAAAUUCCCUGUUCAUUAGUUGUUCUAUUUGAUCCGAAAGGCAUGGUAACUUCAGGAGCUAAAUGCCUACCCCAAAAUGAUUUCAUUAUAGCAAGUUCAGCUUCUAACCAUGCUUGGUUUUCCUUCAUCAUUCUUAUUUAACUGGUGUGGCGUUGUUCCAUAGUCUUCAUGUCCUCCUCCAAUAAUUUUACCUUCUAAGAGGCUCCAUUGUCUUCUAAAAUUGCUCCCAGGUGAUGAGAUGCCGGACCCCAUAAGCUACUUGGGGUUGGACCAAGUCCUAAACCCCGCACUAAGCGACUCUUCUUUGGUCCCCAUCACUUGUGAAUAUAUAUCAUCUUCAAAAGCUAUAGUAUCUUGGGAUUGUUCCAUAGAAUUAGAAGGUUGACUUAACUUUUCCUUCAUCAAAUCCUAACAACUUAUAAGAAAAGAGAAUUGCAUCAUUAUCAUGAUUAUAUAAAAUUAUAAAAUAAAAUAAAAUCUCAAAUUAAAACUCAUAUUAGAUAGAUAAAGUCAAAAAACUUACAACUAUUUGAGCCGACUCAUCAUCAAUGGGUCACCCAUCCUUGCGUUGCUUAUGAGUUUCAUUGAAAAUAUGUGCUCUUGAUGGUUCAACUCCAUCCUUAGACUAAUAUAGAAUUAAAUCAUGAUUUUGAAACUAAAACCUCUGAAUGCAAUAUUAGAGUGAGCUUUAUAUAUUUCAAAAUAUCAAACCAAUUGCAUGAUAAUUUAAAAAACUAUCUUCAAAUUUAAUAGUAAUAGUGGCCAUAAUAUAUAUAAGCACAAUAUAUAUAUAUAUAUAUAUAUAUAUAUAUAUAUAUAUAUAUAUAUAUAUAUAUAUAUAUAUAUAUAUAUAUAUAUAUAUAUAUAUAUACUAUUACUUACUUACUACUUACUACUNNNNNNNNNNNNNNNNNNNNAAUAUAAUAUAAUAUAUAUAUAUAUAUAUAUAUAAUAUAUAUAUAUAUAUAUAUAUAUAUAUAUAUAUAUAUAUAUAUAUAUAUUAUGAUACCUUUUCUACCAUCAACCGUGCAAUGCUUUUAGAUCCCCCAGUAUGUGCCAUUUUUAGCAUUAAUCGAUUUUCCUAUUUGUCUUACUUCGUUUCUGAUAUUGUACAAAAAUAUUAGAAGAAAGACCUCAAUAUAAAAUUAUUGGAGAAGAAAUAUAGAAGUAAAAAAAAUUGCUUGGGUAUGUAUACUAUUUUCAGUUUAAGAUAUCACCUUUGUUUUGUCUGUAAACCAAUAAUUGAUGAGGACAGUCCAUUGAUCCCUUAGUAUGCGAUCAGGUUUGUUACUUAAAACAUCAUCUUUAUUUCCACAGCCUUCAAAAUAUUCAGCUUUCAACUCACACUAUAAUCUUUUCAUUUUUUCUCCAAAGAUCUUAAUACACAUUUCUCAUCAUGCCGAGGGAAUGAAGAUUUUAUCUACAAUAUAUAUAUAGUAAUAAUUUAAAAAAUUACUAAUAAUUAAGUGAAACUAGAAUUGAUAAUGGAUGUCUAUUACCUUAAUAAACUCUAAUAACUAUCUUUUAUCCUUCUUAGGAAAUAUUCUGCAAUCUGAGAUACGAAUAGGAGCUAAAUCAGAAUUCCUUCCCAUAAUGCCCAAAAAGCUAGCAAGAACUCAUCCUUCUAUUCCAAUGGGCUGAUCACGUUUGUUAAAUUGUACAAUAAUUCUUUCUUCUUCUGACUGAUUCCAAAUAUCAACUAGUAGAGUAGGUCCUCGUACACUCCUUCGCUCUAAAAAAUUAUAAAAUAUAACAAAACAAAGAAACAAUUGUAUUAUGAUGAAAAAAAUGCAAAUUGAAUAGUAUAUAAUUUGAACAUGUAACAAUAAUAAUAAUUUUACCACAUGUAUCAGUUGGCUCUCCUUCUAAAUACCUUGAUUGAUUCCCAUGAUUGGGAUCUUCAUAGAUUGAAGGUCACUAUUAGAUUGUGGAAGAUUUUGUUGGUCCCGAGAUGAAUGCUAAACUAUGACCUUCCUCAAUCUUCUUUUUGUCAUGAUCAUCUAUAUGCAAUCUAAAAUAGAUAUGAUCUUAAACAAUAGGCUAUAUAAUAUAAAGUGAAUUAUUUUAUGCAUCAAAAAGUAAGUCAAAUAAUUCAACAGGAAGCGAAUUUAAAUAUGAAGCAAAAUGUCAUAAUCAUUACAAAUAUAUAUUCAUUUGAAAUUAGCAAAACAAUAACAAUUUACAUCGAAUCACAAAAUAAUCCAUCAUUACAACAAGAUGGUCUACUCAUCUCGUAUCAAUAACUGUUCCCUCAACAUCAUUUCUCACCCAACUUAUAUCAUCAUUUUCUGUCACAACAGCAUCUAUUAAACUAAUAAAAGUUUGAAAAUCAUUCUCCAUGCCUAUUCCAAUGUCAUUAUCAUCAUACUCCUCUUGUGCAUCAAAACAGCCUCUUGGUUUUAUUGGUAUAGGAAUAAACCACUCUCGAUCUUCAUAGUCUUGGAUAAAUAUCACUUGUUGAGCUUGAGAGGUAAAUACAAAUGGUUCAUCAUUCAAAUAAUCACCAGUAUGAAUCAAGUGAGAAAAAUUAACGAGUGUGAACCCCAGUGCAUCUUGCUUUAGUCCUCUACCUCGAGUCACAUCAACCCAAUCACAUUUAAAUAGAACAACUUUAAAUCUAUCGUAGUAAUUCAGCUCCAUAAUAUAUGUUAACAAACCAUAAUAGAUGAUAUCUCCCAUUACAGGCCUUGCAUCACUGGUACUUGCAUAACUCAGUGUCUUUACAGUAAUCAUGACUCCACUGUUCUGAGUAUUUAUAUCCCUCUCAUAUUCUUUUGUUCAAAACUUGCAGCCAUUAUUCAUAUCAAAAGCAUGAAAUCUUCUUGCAAUAUAAUUUGGACCUCGAGCAAGUGAUCAUACAUCAUCUGUAAUUUAUCCAUCACUUGCACUAUCAAAAGCUUUAACCUAGUUCAUUAAGAAAAAAAUAGGGAUCAAUUAAUCUUAUUCUAUAUGCAAAAUAUUGUUAACGAGAUACUCAUAACUUAUAAGAAGAUAAUUGAUUUUUUAUUAUUUUUUAUAAUCAAAAGUAGUAAUAAAAUACUUACAUACUCCUUAAAUCAUAUAUGAAAGUUUUCAUUAUGUAGGCGAUCUAUCUCAUGUUGUGUCAAGCGACGUCACUGAUUUUGCCUCUUGAUUACACUAAUGUGUUCUCUGUAUAGAUAAAAAUAUAGAUAAUUUUCAAUCUAAUACACUUUUUUUUAUAUAAUAAAGAUAAAAACUACCAUUUACUUUCUAAGAGAUUCAACUAUACUACAGUCACAAUUAAAAGAGUAUAUAUCGAUGUGCUUGUAUCCACAUUUUUUUUAUCCAAUGAAAAUUCUUUGAUACUACCAUACGGUUGGCCCACAUUAGGAAAAAGACAUGAAUAUUGAACUCUUUCAGGAUCAAUAUUAGCAUGAUUUCUAAUCGACCGAUCAGAUCUUGCUUCAGCAUCUUGUAAGUAGUAAGAAUAGAAUGUUAGGCACUCGUCUACUAGAUAUGCCUCUACUAUCGAACCUUCAGGACGUACUCGAUUACGCACGUAGGAUUUUUGGGUAGAUAAAUACCUAAGUGGAGAAAAAUUAUAUAAGUCUAUUAUAUUCUUGAUACAUGGAUUUCACAAUAUAAAAAGAUAAAGUAGCUUAAAAUUAAUUAUUUACCUCUCAAUUGGAUACAUCUAUCGAUAAUGAACUGGUCCAACCAAUUUAGCCUCAGAUGCCAAGUGAAUAACCAAAUGGACCAUCACUGUGAAGAAUAAUGGAGGAAAAAUCUUCUCCAUAUUGCAAAGCAUUAAUGCAAUAUUCGAUUCGAGUAACUGAAGUUCAUCCACUUUUAAAGUUUUGGAACAUAUUCCUCCAAACAGACUACAAAGUUCAAUUAAAACAGAUGUUACUUUCUCGGGCAAAGUUCCUCGUAAUGCAAUAGCAAGAAGUUAUUGCAUUAAAACAUGACAAUCAUGGUUGUUAAGUCCAGAUAAUUUACAAUGUUUGAUAAUACAUCGUGAGAUAUUUGAUGCAAAUCUAUCUAAAAAUUUUACAUUCUCCAAGACCUCAUAGAAAAGUUUUUUCUCAUGUGGAGACAUAGUGAAAUAAGUAGUCGGCAAAUAUGUUCUUCCAGAUGCUCGUCUUUGAGGCCAUUGCUCUUGUCUAAUAUUCAUCUCUUAUAGAUUAUAAUGUGCAUUCAAGUUGUCCUUUAACUUUUUUUCAAUAUUCAAUAAAAUAUUGAUCAAGUUAUCACAUAUAUUUUUUUUCUAUAUGCAUCACAUCAAAAUUAUGAUGUACUAGAUUAUACUCUCAAUAAGGAAGUCCGAAGAAAAUACUUUUCUUUUUUCAUGUUUUCCUUAUAACCCCACUGACUUCUUCACUCUGCUUGCCCAGAGUAAACUUAAUAUCCUUCAAUCCAGAUGGUGUGAGUGGUGCAGCUCUUAAUUCUUCAUCCCCAUCAAAUAAUUUUCUAUCAUAUCAAAAUUUAUGUGACAUAUCCAAGAAACAACGAUGACCCAUGUAGCAAAUUUUUUUGCCAUAUAUAAAACGCUUAGAACAUGUAUCUACAUUGCAACAAGGACAUACAUUAUGACCAUAGGUGCACCAACCAGAUAAGUGGCCAUAAGCUGAAAAAUCAUUUAUAGUCCACAUAACUGCUGCAUAUAGUUGAAACGUCACUUGAAGCAUCAUAAGUAUUUACAUCUACUUCCCAUAACUCAUUCAAUUCCUCUAUAAGAUGUUCCAUAUACACAUCAAUAUCAUUUUCCGACCCUUUUUCUCCAUGAAUAAGCAAUGAAAGCAUAAAAUUAGAUUGUUUCAUGCAUAACCAUGGCAGCAAAUUAUAUGGCAUUAAAAUGACUGGCCAUAUACUAUAAUUAUUUUGCAUUAUACCAAAUGAGUUAAAGCCAUCACUUGCAAGCCCCAAUCUAACAUUACGAGGAUUUGCGAUAAAAUUUGGAUAUCGAGAAUUAAAACUUUUUCAUGCUUUAGAGUCUGCUGGAUGUCUCAAACUUUCAUCCUCAGUACGGCUUUUCACAUGCCAUAUCAUUAGAUCUGAUGUUUUAGAAGACAUAAAUAACCUCUGCAAUCUUAGUUUUAAGGGAAAAUACCUCAAAACCUUUGUCAAAAUUUUUUUCUGUAGUUUCUUUAAACUAGAUGCAUCGUUUAAUAAAUCAAUACUAUUUUUCCAUCGAGAAGCACCACACACUGAGCACAUAUCAUCAUUAAUCUUCUUUUUCCAAAAUAGCAUACAAUCAUUAGGACAAGCAUAGAUUUUUUCAUAAUUAAGUUUCAAUCCUUUAAUAAUCUUCUUUGUUUCAUUAAAGGAAUUUGGUAAACUUUCAUCAUCAUGGAUUGACUUUUUUAAAAGUUUUAGUAAUGCAUCAAAUGAUUGGUUAUACCAUCCAAAAAUGCACUUUAUAUGAUAAAGAUAUAGUAUGAAGGAGAGUGUGGUGAAAUUCCUACAUCCCGGAUAUCAUUUUUUGUCGGCAUCUUUCAAUAACUUGUUAAAUUUCUGUAUUCCAUAUCAAAUUGCUCCAUAGUGUCUUGUGUGGUAAAUCCAUCUACAUUUUCCUCUAUUGGAUUCCCUGCAUCCAUGUUUGUAGCUUUGCUUCUUACUCUAAAUACAUCAUUUAUCAUUCCUACUAUAUCAUCACUUUCAUAUGCUUCUCUUUCUUUAUAACCACCUUGUGUAGGAAGCGACAUAGAUAUUGAUUGCCCAUGAUAAAUCCAAGCAUCAUAUCCCGGCAUAAUAACAUUAACUACAAGGUCAUCGUUUAUGUCUGUCUGACUUUUUCGAUGAUAGAGUACACAACUUUUAUAAGGACACUAUUUUUUCAUCUUUAGAAUUGUUUUGGAAGGCAAAAUCGAGAAAAUUAUCUACUCCAUCUAGAUAUUCUGUGGUCACCUUACAAUAAUCUGACCAUCUCUUGUGCUUAUGAUUGUCCAUGAAAGGUCACUGCUCAAACAAACAAGAAUCCUUAUUAUCAAGAGAGUAAGAUAUAGAGAGAUUAAUGCUUUGAUUCACAUUAGAAGAUUCUUUAUAAUCAUAUAGACAAGAAAAAUAAAAAUAAAAAAUAGGAUAAUUAUAAAACUCAUGUAUAACAUGAAUAUUUUAACUAGUAAUAUCAAAUAUAGCCAAAGCAAAUUCACUGCAAAAAAAAUAAGUCUUUGAGUAAUUACUCUUAGUCUUGCUAACUCAUGUGUCUUCUAAAUUCAUACCAUAGGAAUUUGGUGGUACCAAAAUAAAAUGCUGAAUUAAACUCAAAUAAAAGAGAAAAUAGUGAUAAAUUAAUUGCAAGCAAACUGAACUAAAUGGGUUGUGUUGAAUUAUAAAAUUGAUUCAGCAUUAUUCAUAACAAGAGCUUCUAAAUGUCCUAUUUCAGUCAAAGUCCAGUGAUUACUUUUCGGGAAGUAAAUACGGUAGCAGAUUACCCAUCCAAAAUAGCUUUGGAAGGCAAUUUUAAUUAUGACUAUGGUGACACCUUGCCUUUGGAACUGUGUGGUAUCCUAAUGGCUGACUGUAGGGGCGAUCAUUACUUUCGGAAGAUAAAAUUUUAAACAAUGGCCACUAUGAAUACUAACUGUAAUUCUUAUAUGCCUCUUAAUCAGGUCAAGCCAAAGCAUAAGAAACCAAAAUGUGAAGGUCCAGCCAUUGGCUGAUGGCAGCAGGCAAGAUUUUACUCACUAGUUCUUUAGUAUUUGGUACAUAACUUUUUUAUUCAGCCAGGAUGCCCAGGGGUUGUGCAACCAGGUGAUUUACAUUCUUAUAUUCAUGAUAUAGCCCACUCAACCAUGUACUUUAUCUUCCAUUGCAUCCUCAUUCGAGUGGCACAGCAUUGGUUUCAAUGGCACAAUAUUAAAUCAGGUCAAAUUACAGACAUGAAAUUUUAAGAUAGAGACCAUGCCAACAUAUGGACUAAACCAGAUUUUCCCACCAAUAUCCCCAAAGCAUAUGAAUUGACAAACAAAUUUCCUCACAAAUAUCACACAAGAUAUCAAGCUGAUUAUUCGCUGGUUCCAACACCAGGAAGAUGCAAGUUCAUGUCAAAGAUUCAGAGCACACAAAAUAAAAUUAGUUCCAAAAACCAUAUACCAAAUUCACAAAUAAAAUUAGUCCCAAAAACCAUGUAUUUACAUUCUCUCAACAACCAUGUUGCACUACCCAGGAGUCAUUGGCUCAUCAUAUACGCCAAUGAUCAAAGCCAAAUUUGUUUUCUUGACAGAAACACUACUAGAACCCUGAAAGAUUUUUUUUCUAAGGGAAAAGUCAAACGCCAAUUAAACAAUCCAAAGAAUGUCAAUACAAACUAUCUCUGUCCCCACGUGUUUAAGUGCAUGUGUGAAUGCAGACAAAGGAAAAAAUGGCCAGAAAGUUUUAUUAUAAAUGUAUAUAAAAUUCUUCCCUAGAGCUAGCGGCGCAAAACUUGACUACCAUAAACCCUUAUUUUUCAAGAACAUCCAGAUACAAAUAUUAUUUCAAGAUUCAAAGCGAUCUAUAAAAACGAACAUAAGAUCGAAAGAACCCAAUCACCGAGCUCCUGCCCUGGUUUUCUUGCAAGAAACGUUUCAAGCAGCGGUGAGCGUUGGAUAGAUUUGGAGAGAGGAGAGAACGAAGGGAUUAGGGGAAUACAGAGGGAUUAGAGGAAUAUGGAAGAAAAGGGGGUGAGGGUGUGGGGAAGAGAACGGAGGAUUAGGGGAAUACGAAAGAAAAGGGGGCGGCGGCGUGGGGGAGAGAACGGAGGGAACAGGGGAAUGCGAAAGAAAAGAGAGGGGGGUGGCGCGCGCGGUCAUUUGGCCCUCAUCAUUUCAUUAGUGUUGAUGACAAUUAGAGUGGAGUAGCCGCUAUAAAUAUAUAUUUUAUAAUUAUUUAUUAAUAAUUAUAAUUAAUAUAAAUAUUUAAUUUAUUAUGAUUAUUAAAAAAUUAUCGUUAUAAAAUUAUUAUUAAAAAAUAUUUUUAUUAUAGUACGUCAAAACGGACAGUACCUCACGUAUCAAAUCAUGAGCUCUCGAUUGCAAUAUUGGCACUAGAAGCAGGGCAUCACCCUCAAUGAACUGUAGAGCUCAUUCUGCCUAAACACCACCACUCUAUGUGAGUACACAGACACGAUCCGUGAAAUCCAUGGAUUUCUUUUGACUAGAAGGAUUAUGUUGUGGUGUAAAAGAAAGGGCAUUAUUAAUUUCACAUUGAUUGGAGUCAAGAGGGGCUCUAGCUUAUAUAAUAGGAGACCAUCCUUCCCACGUAAGGCAUCUUUUAACGGGUAAAACUGUGAGAUCCAAAAUGGCCCAUACAGCCUUCAAACUAUGGGGCAUAAGUCAAAGCAGACAAUACCUCACGUGCCGAGCUAUGAGCUCUUGACUGCAACAUUGACACUAAAAGGAAGGUAUCACCCUCAAUGGACUAUGGAACUUCUUUCAUCUAAACACCACUCUAUGGGAGUACACAAACAAGAUCUGUAGAGUAUAUAGAUUCUUCUUUGACUGGAGGGCUAUGUUAUAGUAUAGAAGAAAGGACAUCAUUAGUCCCACAUUGGUUGGAGUCAAGGAGAAAUCUAGCUUAUAUAGGAAGGGACCAUCCUUCUUAUUUGAGAUGCCUUUUAAGGGGCAAAACUGUGAGGCCUAAAACGGCUCAUACAGCCUUCGAAUUAUGGGCCAUAGGCCAAAGUAGACAAUACCUCACAUGCCGAGUCAUGAGCUUUUGACUGCAAUAUUGGCGUUAAGAGGGUAUCACCCUCAAUGGCUUGUGGGGCUCCUUUCGCCUAAAUACCACUCUGUGAGAGUACACACAUGAUCUGUAGAGUACACAGAUUCUCUCUUGACUGGAGAACUAUAUUGUGGUGUAGAAGAAAGGACAUCAUGACUUAUAUAGGAGGGGAUCAUCCUUCCCACGUGAGAUGUUUUUUAAGAGGUAAAAUCGUUAGACCCAAAAACAGCCCAUACAACCCCCAAGUUAUGGGCCGUAGGCCAAAUCGGAUAGUUCCUCACGUACCGAGCUAUGAGUCCUUGACUGCAACAAUAGUUUUCUAGAUAAAUUUUUUACCCACAAAAGAACGGGCCCUUUAUGAGGAGAUAUUUAUAUUUUUAUUAAUAUAAAUAUAAUAUCUAUAUUAAUAUAUUAAUAUUUAUAUUAUAUUAAUAUCUAUAUUAAUAAAUUUGUUAUAUUAAAAUAAUAUUAUUUUAAUCUUUAUAAUAAUCUAAUAUUUUUUAUUAAUAUUAAUAUAAUUAAAUAUUAUGAUCUAAUGUUAUAUUAUAUUAUAUUAAAAUUAUAUUUAUAUUAAUAUAAAUAUUAUAUUAACAUUUAUAUGGAAUUUGGGAGCAAAAGUUAUGGUCUUAUAUCUAUUUUAAAGGUAUCAUAGGUAUUUUAUAUAUUUUUUUAAUAAAAUAGAUGUUCGAUCAAAUAUAAAUUAGUUUAAAAUAAAUUAUUUUUUUAUAAUUAAUUAAAUAUAUCAAAUUUAUUAUUUUUUUUUUUAGACAUCAUAUUUUUAAAAAGUAACUUCCUGGAAGUAAUUUUUCAAAAAAAAAUAAUUCCGUAAACCAAACAAAUAUCAAAAAGAAUCGGAUGCUCAGCUUUUGCAAUGAAAAUUUCUCUCCAGACAAUAGUUUUAGUGAGAACAGGCUGCAAUUCGAUAUCUCGUCCCUGACCAUAUUAUAUUCACCUUUUAAUGCCUUACCCCUUGAUGUUUAGCUAUAUGCACGUCUACCUGGUUAGCCUAUUUCAUAUGAGGUUUUACAUAUAUGUUCCACGCAUAACCAUGCCUUCCUUUUAGACAGAGGAAUCAAGAUUCACAAAAAGGAGAAACAAAAAAAAGAAAGAAAAAAAAAGGAAUUAGGAAGUUAGUUUUUGCUUAUUGGGCCAUGGUCAUUAUGUCACAGUCAUGAUUGGGGGUGAUUUUUUAUAGUUCUUAGAGGAUUAUUUUAGGUAAUCAUUUGUUGAUUGGAGUAUGGUUUCUAUCGAUUUAUUUUAAUAUCCCAACUAGAGUAGGAGUGGCUUACGAGUAUAGAGAGGAACGAGAGGUCCUAUUAUAGCUAUGAGUUUUGUCCGAGCAAUACUAGAGCUCGCAUCGGGAGCUCAUAUGAGUUACCAGUGGCCUAUAGAUUUGGUCCGAGUCCUGGAGUUCCGAUUAUGGAAGCAAGUUGCCGAGUCCUAGAGUUCCAUGUAUGGAAGCAAGUUUUAGUUAUGGCGUCGAGAGAGCCCUGUAGUAUACCUUGUUGCCAUGGGGUGCCCCAUGUUGGGUCCCAUGAUGGUGUGAGUGGUCAACGCAACCACCUUUUCGCAUUCCGUCCAGCUUAUGUGCGGGUGCGUGAGUGAGUGACAGAGAGAGUAGUGCAUUAAUUUUUUUAUAAUGCUUUCAUGUAUCAGUAGGAUUUUAUUUCUCUCUCAAUUUAUUUUUUUCUGUAUAUUUUCUUCUUGCAAUCCUCCUGUAUAUUAUUGUUAGUCAUUUUUCUUGCUGAUCCUAGGCCGACUGAUCUUAUUAAGUGUUUGUAUUGUUCUAUAUGCUAUUAACUAGUCUAUAUAUUUUAUAUAUGAUAUUAGAGCUAGACGGGAUACUCUGGCGUAUAUAUUAGAGCUAGAUUCUUCUCAUAGGAGUUUUAAUUAAAUAUAAGUAGUUUGUUGCAUUAGUGACUAUUGCGAACAAGGGCUCGACCUGUCAUAUGAGGUAUUAUCCGUUCUGACUCAUGGACCUCAUGAUUUUAUUCUUUAAAAGGUAUCUCACGUGAAAAAGAUUUUUUUCUCCUUAUAAGCACGAGUUUCUCUUGACUCACAACUGAUGUAGGACUAUUGGUGCUCUCCAUAUUAUUAAAACCACAACAGAGCCUCUUAGUCAAGGGAGAUUUCGAUAUGUACAGUCUGAGAAGCCACACAGUCAGUCAAAGUGAACCUCAGCUCCAGAGAAUCGAGGUGGACCUCAACUCCUACCUGGUGCACCAAUCUGUUGUGAUCAAUCCCCGAGUACGUCUGACUCCAAUGAAGAGUAACCUGCAAAAGAAGUCCAUUGAUCGAAUUUUUAUCCCGUGGGAACCCUCCGAUGCCUAAGUCAGUGGGGAGUGAUGAACAAAAAUUUUUUAAGUAGAAUUCGGCAAAGUUUUAGCCCGAUAAAAAUCCUUUACCAUUGCUGUCACUUUACCUCCCUUUCAUAGGCAUUGCGGGUGUAACCGUCAAACAAGUAGAGUCCCGUUUAUGGUGGUACAAAAGGAUAGUUAACUCCUAUUAUCAAGCCAUGAUCAUAGGGUUAGUGGGCAGUUUAUGCCCACUAACGGUCGUGGUAUGUAGUUAUUAUCCAUGAUUAUAGUAUCGUGAUCAUUGACUCAAAUAUACUGAUUGGCAGUCAGUGAUUUUGAUAUACCGACUAUAUGUCGGUAUUUCUGAUAUAUCGACUGGCCAUCGACUAUAUAGUCGAUCGAGUCGUUAAGAUUGGUUAUCGUUUGAGGUAUAUCCAAAGUUAUCGAUAGACAGUCGAUAUAUCGAUAGAUAGUCGACAAUCCAUGUUCAGCAAUGGUGAUAGAAUAUCGGGUGACGAAUCUUGUAGAGACUAUAGUCAAAUCGAUAACUCCUUUGGCAGUUCUAUUUUGACGGCCCAUCAUCAGUUGCCGAUAUAUAGUUGGGUCCGAUCCUGAAUCGGGAGGAGCAGAUCCGAUUGCCCCAAUAGUAACAAUGAUAUUGUAGAGCUUCCUAUAAUCUAAUGUAAUCAAUGUAAUGCAACGUAAUGUAAGGUGAGGUAAUAUAAUAUAAUAUAAUUUGAUGAUAUGAUAUGAGAAUAUUGAUAUAACAAGGAUAAAGUGUAUUGUAAUUAAUACUACUAAUCAUGCCAUACUAUGUUAUGUAUAUUAUAAUAAUAAUAUAAUACAAUUAUACAUAAAAUAUCAUAUAAUAUCAUAAAAUAAUAUUAUUAGAUUAUAAUGAUAUUAACAUAAUAUUAUUAUAAUACUAUAUUCUAAUAUUAUUAUAUUAUAAUAAUUAUACUAUUAUAAUAUAAUAAUACUUAGAAUAUUAUUUUAUUUUAUAAUAAAUAUGAUAUCAUUUUUGUUAUAUUAUUACAGUAAAUAUUAAAAUAAAUAAUUUAUAUAUUAAGAGUCUUGUAUAUUAAUAGUUUUUGAUAUUGCAAACAAUAUAAUUAUCAAACAACAUACAAGUUUCUAUUAAAAGUUCUUCUAGUAAAAAUUAUGCUAUUCAAAACUCUAUGAGCAAAAGCUCCACUAUAUACCAUGAGACCAAACUAGGUCAUAAUCAACUUUGAGAAGAUCUGGUUUAAAGAAGAUAGUGGUGUAGAAGAUGACCCCUAAAAUCAAUCUUUAGAUUGUAUUGUGACAAUUAACAUUCAAUCAACAUCGCAAUAAUGAAACUCCUUCAAGAUUUUUUGAAAAAUAAUUUUAUACAUUGCAUAAGUAUAUAUAAAUAUUUUUUUGUGCUCAUAUGGCCACUAAUAUAGCUUGGCCACAUUGAUUCCUUUGAGUGGAAGAAAAUAGAAAAAUGAUCAUAGAUUUCUUUGCUCUCAUUUCGGAUUUCAUCUAUUGUUAUCCCUUAAUCCCCUACUCUAACCUCCACUCAUGAUUGUCUCCCACCUCGCCACCAUGUUGUUGGAUGUAUGACCUGAAAAGCUAAUUGUUAGCUGACACAUUGUAUUAAUUCUAAGACAUAUUUUUGUACUUGAUUUAUUAAAAUUAAUAAAAUGAUAAAUUAUUCUAUUUUGGAGUAAUGUGUCCUAGAAUCGUCUAAGGAGUUAAUGAUCAAAGACAUAUAUUCUCAAGAGUUGAGAAUUUGAGACAUGUGUCAUUAUAGAUCCCGAUCGUUGAAUUAUCAUGGAGAUGGUGAUUGAUCCAUCAAAAUCGGUACAUAGAUCGCUUCUUUUUGGAUAGACGAAUCUUGAGUCUACAGUGUGGGGUCACUAGAGCAAGAGUGCAGAUAGUUGUUAGAGAAUAAUGGUACUGAGCGUAAUCAAAAAUGAGAAGAUACUUAGAUAUCUACUCAUUCAUCAGUGACUAUCUCGAUACUGUAGUUGUGCGAGUAGUUCUUAGAUCUGCGGUACUUCGACUGCUCACAGUGGGAUUUCUAUAGUUUCACAACACAUAAAUAUGGUCCCUAGCUAUUCAAGACCUUAUGGUGUUCGUUGGCUACAGUAGGUUCGUUGUAGGAGUAGGUUUAUUCUUAUAGGAGAUUUAUCGACCUUAGUAGUUGAGGAGUAGUCCCAUGCGACCUAAGAGACUGAGUCCUUAAAUCUAUGGCUACAAUAACGUGAUAAUAAAAGAAGUUUUCAUGGGAUUCACGAUUGGACUUAAGCUAAUUAAGUCUUGCAUAUGACAGAUGCUUAGAGUUUGACGAGUUUUCAUGAUUUGCAUCCUAUCGAGGCUUUCGAUAGAAAAAUUUGAUCACAUGGUAACCACACCUAGGGGUUCAUCUUUCUAUUCUACUGAAUUGUUAUUAUAUAUUGCUAGGCAUUACUGAUGGAUUGUGAGAACUCACUGAGAUCAUUUUUGAAUCAACGAUUCUUUUUGGAUUGAAUUCGAAUUAUCCCAACCCAUCGAAAGGAGUUUUGAUGAUACUAUGAUGGAGAUCAUAGGAUUGGAUUUUACCAUCAUAUGGCAACAGGUAUGCAUGCAGAAAUUUUAAAAAUUUUAGGACAAUCGUUCAACAUAAUGUUCUACCGUUAUGUCAAGGCAACCUUAUGUCAGAUCAACAUUAAAAAUAAUUUUUUAAUUAGAUUUAAUCUAAUCUAGCAUAUAUAGAGAUUAAGUCUCAUAACCCAGACAUCAUCAUAUAUGUAAAAUAAAAUCUAAAAGUAGAGGAUUUAAAUUUUAUCUUUGUACAGAUAGAUGUUCACCACGAUCCGAUGAUCUGAAGAUGUCUUCGAUAUUUCACUGUAGCCAUACACAUAUCCGACCUCUAUGGAUAUCCAUCAAAAUUGAUCUGAUCAGGAGAUCUUGCAGAGACGCUCUCUAGAUUAUUGAAUUGAUUUGAUCUUUUGAUCCUAUUCUCAAGAGAAUCAAACACAUCUGUAGAAGGAACUUGAAAUCAGAUCAAAUCUGAUUUCUUUACCUAUUUUCCUCUUCUCAAGAAAAAAUCCAAGAUCUACAGAAGAAAAUAAGAGAUCAAAUAUCUUGAUUUUUCUUCUUAUCCAACUUUUGAACUAGAUUUGAGGAGAAGAAGAGGAGAACCGUCCAUCUCAUGGAUCAAGAAAAUUAAAUCAGAUCAAAUUUGAUUUAAUCAUGUCCAACUCUUAGACAUCUUUGGGAGAGAGGAAGAAAGAGACAUGUCCAACUUUUAGACAAAGAGAGAGGAGGAGAAUUUUCUAACAACCAAUUUUUGGUUGCUGUAAGAAAGAAGAGAUAAGGAAAGAGGAAGAGGGCACCUACCUUUUCUCGUAGAAAAAUCCCUCACAUCCAACACCCAUGAGCCUUGGGCAUCCAGCCAUGAUCUCCAUGCCAAACUUCAUCAUAUGGGCAUCCCAAAUCCUGAUCUUAUCACUAAGGGCGUCCCAACUAAUCCCCUCUAUUUAAACUACGAAGGUUGUUAGGAUUUUGAAGAGAUAAGAGUUGGAAUAGAAUAGGACUCUAUCCCAUAUUGUGCCACCACAUACUAACUCUCCUAAAAAUAUGGUGCCUCCACAUCCCACUCUUUUCUUAUGUUUUCCAUGCCAAAUAGAAGCUUUUCAUCAUGAAAACAAGUAGUAUGUAACCUCUUGGGGCGUGAGGAUUUAAAGGGGGAGUUCCUUGUUUGAUUAGGUCCAGGUCUAGGUCCAAGUCCAAUUGUCAAUUGGAAUCCAAUCUAGAUUAGGUUAAGUGUAAUCCCAUUAGACUAAUGAAAUCUAAUCCAAAUAAAAUUAAAAUCUGAUUUAAUCAAAUUGAAUCUGAUUUAAUUUGACCAAGGCCAAAUCCAAAUCAAAUAUGGGUAAAGAUUAAGUCAAACCUAAUCUAGAUAGGUUUGGAUUAGGUGUUCAUUAGAUCUAAUCCCAUUAGAUUAAUGAAACAUAAUUUGAGUCACACUCAAACCAAAACUAAUCAAAUAAAAUCUGAUUUAAUUUGAUUAGGACUCAAUCAUAAUAUUUAAUCAAAUCAAAUAAUAUGCAAUAAUUACAUUUUAGUUCUCUUGUAACUUACUAACUUUUAGUAAGUCCUCAAUGUAAUUUUUAUAUUUAAGUCCAAUCAUCAAUUAAAUUGAUAAUUAAGAUCACUUAUGAUUUAUAAUUUAAAAUCAUGAUUCGACAGUCUGAUCAGUUAAGACCUCUUUUAUGUGUGAUCUCAUAGCUAUUAUUCUAUCUAGUAGUGAGAAAUAUUUUGAUCUUCAUCAAAAUAUCAUUGAAACUUUUUUCAAUGAUAUUUUGAUCUUCAUCAAAAUAUCAUUGAAACUUCUUUCAAUGAAUUGAAACAAUUUUAACUCUCCAAUUGAGAAUUAUUAAUCAUCAAAAUAAUUCUCGUUGAUUCCACAAUCCAUCAGUGACGCUUAGCAAUAUAUAGUGGUAAUCCAGCAGAACAGAAUAAUGAACCAUUAGGUGUAAUAUCGUGUGAUUCAAUUCUUCUAUCAUGAGUCCCGACAAGAUGGAGGUUAUAAAAAACUC
RNAcentral lists this long non-coding RNA (50559 nucleotides) under Elaeis guineensis (African oil palm). RNAcentral describes it as "long non-coding RNA (EGUI_LNC007475)". Lineage: Eukaryota; Viridiplantae; Streptophyta; Magnoliopsida; Arecales; Arecaceae. The record is from RNAcentral.